AUCUUCUCUUGGCCUUUUAUAUGUUGUCGUGGUGAUAAAUUUGGGAGUUCGUCAACAACUAGAAUUCCAUUGGUUUCUGAGGAUCAACCACAGGACUACUCAAUCACAUCGGUAACCCUCUCACCUUUCGGGUUUAUUGUGAUACUUUAUCUUUUUAAUGUGUAUCUUGUAUAUUAUUUGAUAGCUUUUAUGCAUAUUUAGCAUCCCAAACUUGAAGGUUUCUAUUAUAAGUUGAAUAUGUUUGGAAGUGUUUCAAACACUUCGAUGCACUAAAUUUAUUAUAGAUAAUGUAAGCCUAUAUCUUAAGGACUUAUAAUAGAAACAUUAUAACUUAUAUGUUUGCAUUUAUAUAAGUUGCAUGCACAUGUAAGGAAUGUUUAGUAUGAUUUUUAGUUCCUUUACAUUGGGAUUACAUUACAGGUAUCAAAUUCACACAAUCUUCAUAUAUGGGAACGUGCUCAAUGUCUUUCGGUACACCCACAUUUCAUGUGCAAUAUUAAAAACAUUGUGCUGUUUCAAAUUUUGAAGAUAAAAUCGGUGUUUAUCCUGUCUAUUGCUCCAAGAAUGUUGGAAACUUUGACAAUUACAAAUUGUGAUGAAUUGAAGCACAUAGUGAUAGAUACCGAAGAUCAUGACAGUAGUGGCAAUAAUUGGGGCAAUGUCUUCCCUACAUUGAAAAGGCUCCACGUUCAAAAGUGCAUGCAAUUGGAAUACAUAUUUGGACACUACACUAAUGACCAUCAAAAUCACACUGAGAUUCACCUUCAUCUUUCAGCAUUGCAAUAUCUCAAUUUUUGCAAUCUGCCAAGUUUAGUCGCUAUGUGUCCCAAAAAAUAUCGCCCAACAUUUCCAUCUUUAAAAGAACUUGAACUAAAAAAUUGCUCCCAAGUUGAUAUCAAAUCUAUCGGUGAUUUCAUUAUUCAUUCAGUUUCAAAAUCUCAAGACAGUACAAUCAUGAAGGUAUCCCUUUUUUCUUAUAUAUUUUUUGUUUGCCAAAUUAAUCAAUGAUUUCAUUCUUACUCGAAGAAUGUUAUUGGAUUGCAAUUGAUAACUACUUAGUGGAAAAAACUUGAAACGGGAAUGUCACAUUUGUUCCAAUAGAAUCAAUGUUUGUGCAGUGUUGGUGAAUCGUGUUAAGAUAGUAGUUCCAAGCAAGAUCUAAGUCUCACAAGUGCUUGUUUUUUUUAGUAGUGUGUUGAUACUUUAGAAUGUAUCUCUAGGAAAUAGAUUGUGGCAUAAUAUGUCCGUGUAUUCUAUGGUUAUGUCAAUUAUUCUAUCUUAAUAAUGAAUAUACAUUUUUUUACAUCAUUUCGUAUAAAAAUAAUGGAACCAAGAAAAUAUCUAACUAACUUGACAAAUCAUUUUAAAUGUAUAAUUUUUUUAUAAAAUGGAAGUUUAAUUUCAUGUAAUUUAAGAAUAUAAUUUUAAACGAGAUCUUAUUUAAUUUUAAAAAUGUCUUUUUUACUGAAUUUUAGAAAUGUUAUUAUGAUACAACUAAUUUAUUUGGUGUACAUACUUGUAGGAAUUGAGCGUGAAACAUUUUAUUCCUUUGGAAAGUCUCAGGGUAGAUAACUCCAAAGCAGAAAAUUUAUUUUGUCUCAAUGAAAUGGAUGGACAACCAAUGAACUUAGGGUUGCAAAAGAUUCAGUUAUCUGAUAUGCAUGAUAUGAAGUACCUUUUUGGGGGACCCAAAAAUUCUUUUGUCCUAAAAAACCUUACAAAGAUAAUAAUCAUACGAUGUGAAAUAUUGGAAGUACUUUUCUCCACUUCUAUUUUAAGAUGCCUAUCAAAAUUAGUUUUUCUAAGAAUAGAAGAAUGCAAGGAGUUGAAACAUAUCAUUGAAGAUGACUUGCAGAAUCAAAACAUGUUGAAUUCCUUCCCAAAGCUAAAAGUACUUGUUGUAGUAAAGUGCUGCAAGUUGAAAUAUGUCCUUCCGGUCUCCAUAUGUAAAGAGUUUCUUGAGCUAGAGGCACUAGUAAUAAGAAAAGCACUUGAAUUGGAGGAAAUAUUCAAAAGUGAAGGAGAUCAUAAAGUCAAGAUUCCAAAACUAAAUUUUAUAGUAUUUGACAAACUACCAAGCCUCUUCUUCACCCAAGGAAUUCAAUUUCAGACAACAAAAAAUCGUUUUGUACGAAAUUGUCGAAAACUCUCUUCGUGUUUAGCAUCUACUCCCUACAGCUUCGUUGAAAUUUAUAACUUUUUCGUACGAAACACAGGUACACAUUAUACCCAAUAUUUUUUAAAACCAUUAUUACAUGUUGGUUUUAAUUAACUACAUAUCAUGUCGUGUUUAUAAAAUAUUUUGAUAAUUGUGUUUAUUUUUUGUAAUUCUUCUUAUUUAUAAAUGUGUAUAUAGACAGUUUUACACUACCACAAAGUUCUUUACAAUAGAAACAAAUGUAUGUUACAUUUUAUUUGAAUAUAUACUUUCUCAAGUCAAUCGAAAUGUAGACAGUUUGAGUUUUACAAAUAUAUAUGUCUAUGUAUCUGUGUGUGUGUAAUUUUAAUUGUUUAUCUGAAAUAGACUUACUUGAUUAAUGCCCGCCUUUCUAGAUACAUUUGUCAAAAUUUUCUUGAGAAUUUAUUCUUUAACUUUUUCCCUCGGCAUUUCUUACCAAGUAUUAGGAGUCCCUCUGCAUUUCUUACCAAGUACUAAUAGAGAAUAUAUAUGUCUCUCUAGGUAUAGCUUUUUCAAAAAAUAUUACGACAAUGUCAAAGAUGUCAUAUAGUCAUUUGUUUUAUCUUUACCAACCAAUUAUAUGUCUUUUAAUAUUAAAAAAAUUAAACUAGUUGGUUGAAGAAUAUAACAAAUUAUCUAAAGUAGAAAUGUGCAUGAAUAAGUGUUUUUGAAAAUGCAAGAGCACAUAGAGUUACCUAUAUACUUAGAGAUGCUUUAUGAAAGUGGUAAAAUUUUCAUUAUUAGGCAUAGACAGAUAAAUAAUUGUACAUCCUAGUCAACAUCUUGGUUUUAUUGUUGUGCUCAUGAGUUUCUGUUUUUUUUUUUUUCUGAAGAAAUGUUAUGCUUAUGAGUUACUAUCUAAUAAUAUUUUGCUAUAGAUCGUGAAACAUAUAAAAACGUAUUUCAACAAUUACAAGAAGAGUCCGAUGGUAGCGAUAGUGGUAAUGAAAGUCCAAGUGCAGAAACCACUGAAGAUUUUGAUGGUGGGAUUGAAGUUGAAGCGGCAUCACAGGUCAAUACCAUUCUAUUUACUCACACCUGAAUACAAUCACCAUGACAAUGUCUUUGAAUCAAACAUACUAUUUUUUGUGCAGAUACAAAUGAAACUCACACCAGAAGCAGAGCAUGAAUUUGUUGAAAAUGUUCCGGAUUUAGAGAUACCAUCAAUAGCAAUAUUACCAACAAAUUCAAAAGUAAUUUGCAGGCCAUAUCAAAUUUCCUCUCCAUAAACUCAUUCAAUAGUCUACGACUUUGGUAAUGAAUGCAUCUGUUCUUAAUACAGGAGUUGGUGAAUGAACAAUCAACCAAUCAACAGUGUUUGAUAAACCAGCAACAUCCACUUGGAGAAUUUGAUACUACCGCCAAACCUUCUCAAGGAAAUAAUGUAAAUAUAGUAUCACCUUAUUGUGCAUAUAAUACACUACAGCUUAUUUACCUUUUCCUGCUGCACAGUGUUUGAAAGAAAUAGAGGACCAAAAUAUUCAAGAGGGUUAUACACCAGAAAAAACUGUUGCUGCAACUAUGUCUACCAUUUCAGAAACAAGAAAUGGGCCACCUAUACAAUUAAUUUCUCCUAAACAAAAGGCAUAUCCCCUAUUUUGCAUGUUUUCUUUGACUUUUUAAUGUAGGAAUUGAAUUAUACUACCAACUUAAACUUUUUAUUUUUAUGCAGUGUGUUGAAGAAGGAACUUCAUUAACAAAUGCCAACACAAUAACACCGUCAAUUCAUUUAGAAUUAGUCAGUUCAUCAAAGGUGAGUGUAUAGUAUGUAACCAAAUUUUCAAACAUGUUCUAUUGGUUUUAAAAAAUUGUUAAUAUAGUGAGGCUAAUCGUAUAAAAAUUAAUAUUUUGGAUAUGUUAAUAUCAUUUGUUUAUUUGAAUAUGUGUAGGAACAACAUGUUGAUGUUAGAGACUCAGUGGAAACUACCAAGACUAAUGAUGAUCAAGGUGAAGAUUCUUUUGGAUAAAUUUUAUUUUCUUAUGUUACCUCAUCACCCUUUUGAUUUUUGAAGUUGAACUCUCUCCACUUCCGCUUUUUGUUCAGUUUCUCUAAAUGAUGAUGUUGUUGUCAAAGUAACCUCAACUAUUGAAGAACAAUUUCAUACUCCUUCAAUGCCUUUUGAAGGUAUUUACUCAAUUUUAUUUUUAAUCAUUUUGUUUUAGUUCUCUGGAGAGCCUUAACUAGUCUUUUCUUCAUUAUUAGGGAACCCUUCUCAAAUAGUGGAAGAUAUAAAUUCCCCUUCUAUUGUCACAUGGGAGCUUGAGGAACUGGUAUCCAAGAAGCAUUUGGAUUACCAAAACUUGUCUUUGUUGACUGAUUUUCUUGUUAAGCAUCCUUCAUGUCUUUUAAGGGACACCUCACUUAGUAACCGAUACAAGGGUUAUGCAUAUCACUGCCUAGCUGAGCUAUUGAAAUUCCUCCAAACCCGCAGUGUGUUGGAUGUUUUAGGUUCAAGCCACUCUGUAUUUGUUGAGUUAAUACAAGAUGCGCGCAGAUUUGCUUUUGAUAAGAAUUGGUUGGAUGGUGUCGAAAAGCGCGCUUUGUUUCCUGAUUUGCAAUUCUCUCAAGAUGCAUUCCAAAAGUUAUUGGAUUCCAAGAAACAUGUUACCAAGGAUGUUGAAGAUAUGCUUUGGAAGAUUGACGUUUUAGCUAAACAAAUGGAUGUUUUUAACCAUCAAUUGACCUCAUCUGAAGCUGUUUUGCAGAGUAUCAUUCAACAGGAGACACAAGUUUUAGAAACUAAGGCUGCUUUAAGUGCCCCUCUUGGCUAUUAGAUUAUUUUUCCUUGCAUUCACUUACUGCUAUAUCUUUUAUUGUUGGUGUUUUUAUCCUUGACUCUUUGAUAGUCUCUCAUAGCACGUUCUGUAUGCAGAGGAAAUAUUGAUUGCUAGCUUUUACCGAAUUGAGUGGAUCAACCAUGCUUGGUUAUGUGUGGCAUCUAAAGCUCAUAUAACCUUUCAUGAUAUUUGAUGUGUGGUGCGAAACCGGUUAGAAUUAGCCGUUGAAGUUGUGGGAUUUUAGAGAAAAAGAGAAGAGAAAAUAAUAAGGGUUUGAAUAUUAUUGAUAAUAGCUUUAUGCUAACUUGAUUACAAAAGACUCAAUACUAAUUUCUAUUUAUAGAGAAACAUAGAUUUAAUCCUAAAGCAGGUAUAAAUCAUAAUAAUAAUGAGAGAUAUUCUAAGAUAUCUCUAUGAUUAUAAAUUGAUCAUAGAGAAUAACUCUAAUAUAAUAUAAUAGAUAUUAUAAGAUAUUUUCUAAUAUUCUAACACUCCUCCUCAAGUUAAAGCUUAGUCUCAAGCUAAAGCUUACUAAGCUUUAGCUUGUUACAAGAAAACAAUGUUUUGCUCCGCAAAAUAAUAAAAAAAGAUGGAAAGACAACUCAGGGAUGCAUGUGAAGUCAAAGAGAAUUGCUAUAAAUAUUAGUCAGAUAGCUGGAAUGAUCAUCAGCAUGAGAGAAAUUCAUGACAAGCAAUUGAACAAAGUAAAAUUCGCCCUUCUAAAAAAUUGCAUUUGGAAGCUUCAAACUAAUAAUAUCAGAGACUCAAAAUAUUUAAACUUGAAUUUGCUUCAAGGAGAGAGAGGCAUGCUUCAGGGAGAGAAAGGCAAGACCAGUACGUCUGGGACAAAGAUGGGACCAGUGUAUCUGGGACAAAUUGCCAAGUUGUAUGCAUGUGGCUCGAAAGAAAAAAACUUAAAACAAAUCUGGAACCAGGAAGUAAAACUCAAUCUAGACGACUGAAACAUCAUGACGGAAGGCGGACAGACGCGCCUAAGCUCGAGGCUGUUGGUGGCGACGCGUGAGAUGAACUCGGCGGAUCUUGGAGGCACAUGAGCGCAUGUGGAGCAACUUUUGACCUAAAAAAAUAUGGGUUGUGUACAUUGGGAGAUUCUGCACACAAUGGAAGUGGUUGUGUCGGAAAACUUUUCCAGCAGCGACAACGGGCAGCAGCAGCAGACAGCGGCAGUAGCAGACGAGACAACAACGACGAUAGGAAGCAGUAGCAGACGGGGCAGCAGCGACGAUUGUGGUCGGAAGUGACAUUAGUCAUAAAAAGGAAUGAUCAUGCUAGAAAAGAGAAACUAUGAUUAUAUUCUCAAACUGUUGGGAACUCAGCAGCAGAAUAGAGGCAUGAUCGUUCAAGGAUGAUCGAAAUAGGCUCUAGAUACCAUAUUGAAGUUGUGGGAUUUUAGAGAAAAAGAGAAGAGAAAAUAAUAAGGGUUUGAAUAUUAUUGAUAAUAGCUUUAUGCUAACUUGAUUACAAAAGACUUAAUACUAAUCUCUAUUUAUAGAGAAACAUAGACUCAAUCCUAAAGCAGGUAUAAAUCAUAAUAAUAAUGAGAGAUAUUCUAAGAUAUCUCUAUGAUUAUAAAUUGAUCAUAGAAAAUAACUCUAAUAUAAUAUAAUAGAUAUUAUAAGAUAUUUUUUAAUAUUCUAACAUUAGCCAUAGUGAACACUUCAAAUCUUGCUUAUCUGUUUUCAUGAAAUUUGUAGCAUUAAUAAUUUAUGCCUCUCGUAGUAUAUUGGUAGCAUGAUAUUCUUCUAAAAAUUCUACUGUGUUGGUUUAAAAAUGUAUGUUAAUCAACCGCUUCCCUCGCCAUAGCAUAACAUCAUGUAAUAAUUAAUCAAAGUUGAGAACUCAUACAGGUGUACCACAGAAGAUAUGGAAUUACCUAAAAGCAUGGGUAAAUGAGGUCUGCAUAAACUAAAAAUUAAUUUUUUUCUUUCAUAUAUUGCAUAAUUUAGAAAUAUUGGUGUGAUGGCUGAUAUGCUUUUAAACUAUAUCAUGUUGUUUGUGUGAAAAUUAUAUUUACAAUAAUUUCUUUCUUUAACUUUGUCUAGUUUGUGCCUAGUGCAAUCUGUUUCUGAUUUUUUAUCUCAAAUCUUUGGAUCAAUGGGCUAAGUAAAAACAUAUCUGUUAAUUGGUAACCAUGCAACUGACUUAGGGUGAUGUGUUGGAUGUGAUUAGGUUGACGGUAUUUUUGAAAAAUGGGCAAUGAAAAUAGCAUAAUUAUUCUGUCCCUUAUUAUAAGAUUGAGUAAUAUUACAUAGACACAUAUUUCCAAAUAUUCAUUCAAUACUUCAUUUUCUCUCUAUUUCUCUCUUAUAUCACAACAUCAUCUCUAUUUAUUUUUCUCUCAAAGUGUCUACUAGGUGUAUGGUUGUCACUUAUAAAAUUUUUAUGUAUUAAGAAAAGUAGUUGUAGCAUUAAAUUUAUCAAAAAUGUGUUACACAGAUGUCCUUACAAUUAUUGAUAACAUUAGAGAGACAAAAUCACUUUAUGUUUCUCAAUUGAUACUUAUAUUAAGAGACAAAGAAAUAUUAAAAGUGAGUCUUGUAAUGAAGGAUGGAGGCAGUAUAAAGCAAUUGAUUUCAUAAGGUGGGGAUGGAACAUUGAGAUUAGUGUAAUAAAGAGAUCAUGAGUUUAACUCAUUUUCUAACAAAAAAUAACAACUAACUACUAACAUUUAUCAUUUCAAACCAAAAAGUUUAAAGAAAUUGACGAGGUCAAUAGAAUAGCAAUGCUAAAUUAUUGAAUUUAUUGUCAUUGUAUUAUUCGAUAUAUUGCAUGGACAAUAAACAUAAUCAUUUUAAAGUGCUAUAAAAAAACUUUGAAAAUGAUUUUGGGAGAACUCAUCAAUCAUUUCUUCCACUUGGGUAUCAUUCUAGCUCAAUUUUUAGGAUGAAAAGUCAUCAAAUGGACCUUGUUUGAUACAAGUGACAUGUUAGAACAUUUAACCAUUCUUACUUAAUGAACCCUCAACAUGAAUCAGUUAAACAAUAAAAACAUGAUCACAAGUUUGUAGGAUCGAGUUUGAUGGCAAUCAUGGAAAUAUCUUAAAGGGUUUUGUUUAUCAACAUGAACAUGAUCCUCUAAUAAUACAUAGUAUCCUCCAUAAACAAAUCUUGGAUGCUCAAGGAAACACAAAGCAGAUACAUGUUAUAUAACAGAAUAUUGUUUAUUAUCAAAAAUAAUAGAAUAAGUAAUAAUGAGGAUGAUUGGUUUUUGUGGUGUGUCCCGUAUUUGCAGCACAUUUGGUGUUAAUAACAGUGGCUGCUUCUUGAGGUAGUAAUAGCAUCUGUUUAGUAGUUUAGGAAUGCCAAGAAGUACUGUGAUGUUAUUUGUUUUAACUUUUGGUUUGGCUUCAUUGUAAUACAUCAAAUUUUGGGGAUUGGAUCUCUUUAUGGGGAGUGUUUGUAAGACAUGUGCACAAUAUCUUAAUUCAGUUGACUUUGACUACUGGUGAUGGCUAUUUCUGUUACCAUAUCCAACUUUUUGCAAUUUUUUUGUCAUAUCAUAUCCUUUCCUACUAAAAUGAUCUUGGAGAUUUCUGAUGAAUUAGUUCAGUUUUCACACUUGUUUCGCAAUUCAUACAAUCUUUAAAAAAAAUAUUUCAACAGAGAGAAAAAAGAAAGAGAACAUUGUGAAUGCUAGAAGAAAAAAAGAUAUAUUAAUAAACAAAACCAAUGGAAAUCCAUUGUAAGUAACAUAACAGCCUAUAUAAAAUAUGUAUAUGUAUCAGUUUGUACAUCUUGGACACCCCUUUGCUGCCCAAAUAUAACUUAGGCAAAUACAAUCAUCACAGUCUAAAUUAAUAGUUUCACUAAUAUAUAAUUCACUGUAUUAUUUUUAUUCUACCAAUAGAAGCUAAGCUAGUUCUCCUUUCUAUUUAUUUAUUUUUGUUUGAAAAAGCAAAAGCAGAUUUCAUUAAAUAACUCAAAACAAGUGCUCAGUACAAUUAGGUUAUCAAAAGAGAGCAAUCUCACACAUAAUCUAUACAAUUAAACUACUGAAAGCUAGAAGUUUAAGCUAAAAUGAGAUAACCAGUUAAAGCAUUCCUAAUCCAACCAAAAGCAUGUAUGCACUUAUAAUAUCAUAAAAGUAAAUUGACUGAUCAAGUAUUAACUUAAUAUGUAAAUGUAUAUUGUGUUUUCCUCCAUCUAUAUUAUAGUAAUCUUGUUGAUGCUGGAAGAUCUAUUAGUAUGAAUGAAAGAUGAGAAGAAAACAUACAUGCAAACUAUCACUUUUGAGAAAGAGUAUUAUUGAUUAAAACUUUUCUUCUUUGUCAAUGUUCUAUAUCUCUAUUUUCUAUAAACUUGUCCCUAACCAUUUAGAAUGUUGUUAUAUAAAAUCUUUUUUAAGUCCUUUUCAAAAACUAAAUAAAUUAAAUCUUUUAAGUGAUAUCAGUAGCAGUAGUAUUAAAGGGCUACGUAUGUACAAAAAUUCAAAACAACACUACAAUAUCAAAAUAAUUGGCAUAACCUGUUGACUUCAAUACAUAAUGCAUUUUCUAGGAUUUGAAAUAAACAAAUUUGUGCAUGUAAAUUGUAUAAAACGAAAUGCGGGAUUAGAGAAUCAACGAUUACAACCAACAAAUAAAUGAAAAACUACUAACCGCAAUUUCUCAAAUUGUGGAAUCCAUCAAUCAUUAUAUAAUUAAAAUUAACUCAUGAAGCCACUAGUAAUUAAAACAAGCAUACAAAAAUAAAUAACAUAAACGGAAAUUUAACAUAUAAGUUGGUGCUAAAUCAUAUGACCAAGUGACAUAGCCAAUGCCAACAUCCCAAUAUCAAGAACAAGUUGUUAUCAAACUCUCUACAUAGACAGUUAGAACCAUUAUCAAUCUUGGGAGUCCUGGAAUCAUAAACAACCAACUUUAGAUUCUUUAUAUCGAUAUACACCAACAACAUUUGUUCAUCUUAAUCAAUAUAUGUUACCAUGAUACAUACGAGGACAUUUUCCAAUAUCUUCAAAGAAAGGAAUAAUAUAUAAUUUAUUCCAAGAAUUCUUCUUUCCAUAUUCCUUCACAACCCAUUGACCAACUUGGUUGAAUUUGAAAAUUUUAGGUAAACUUAAUUGAUGUAUGAUUACGUGAUCACAUAUAACGCAUCUUAGGGAAAUUGAGUUUAUGUAAGCUUCCUAAACUUAGUCCACGUAGGAUAUGUGAUCACAAUUAUUGUACAUUAUCUAUUUUUUAUAGUGUUGUUAAUUAAUGCAAUGUUUACCCCAACCUAAUGGACGAUGAAAACAGAAAUUUUAACACAAUGAGCAACAACAUGGAACCAUAGUUAACGGAUUCUACGAAUUUAUUUGCUACUAAUAUGACGUUGAAGGACAUCACCUCUUAGCUUCUUUUUAUUGUUCAAUAUCAUCUGCCACACGAUUGUGAAAUAAAUAAAUAAAUAAAGUGUAUGUUUCAUGUCACUAUGAAAAUAAAUGUUAAAAAUAUAACGUCACUCAAUUACCACUUCAUCCUAAAGUUGAGUGGACAUGUGAUAUGUAAAUUCGCAAAGUCAUAUGUGUUAAGUGGAUUGUCAGAGAAUCCUUUAGUUGUUGCAUUUUGGGAGGAAAUAUGCUGUUUUUGGGGCUCCUCCGCAUCCAGCCAUGGAGGCUGAUCCAUUUGCUCCAAAGAUAUAGUAUGACUAUCAAUUUCUCUAAAUUAUACAACAUGUUCUAACAAUUGGCAUCAAGAGCUUGAGUUCUAAACCUUUGGGAAACACGAUUGCAAGUGUGAGGUGGAAUAAAAAAAAAAUUGGGAAACACAAGUGUGAAUGAAAGAAAGAAAGAAGAUUUGAAUGGAUAAUGAUUUCCAUCGAAUUUGCCAAUCCUUGAUGGGAAGAAUUGGGAGAGGUGGUCUCUAUCAAUGAGAUUGUUGCUGGGAGCUCAAGAAGUGUUUGAGAUUGUUCAAGAUGACUAUGAACAACUUGGUGAAAAUCCAAUAGAAAGACAGUAAACAACUUUCAAAGAUUGCAAGAAAAAAGAUUGCAAGGCAUUGUUAUACAUCCAGCAAAGUGUGGAUUCAAACAACUUUGAGAGAAUUCUGAAGGCAUCUACAUCAAAGGAGGCAUGGUAGAUCUUGGUUAACUACUAUACAUGUGGGGAAAAGACCAAACAAGUGAAGCUCCAAAUGCUAAGAAGGCAAUACGAACUAUUGUAUAUGGAAGAAGAUGAAGUUGUGGCAGAUUACUUCAAUCGUGUGUAGGUUGUUGUUGAUCAGAUGAGAACAAAUGGUGAAUCAUUAACUGAAGUGGUGGUUAUUGAAAAGAUCCUUAGAACAUUAACACAAAUGUAUGAUCAUAUUGUGGUGGCUAUUGAAGAAUCAAAUGAUCUUGAUAAGAUGAAGGUGGAGGAUUUGCAAGGCUCUCUUGAAGCUCAUGAACUGAGAGUAAGAGAAAGGUGUGCAGCAACCUCAGCAACUCAAGUGUAGGCCCUACAGGCCUAAGUCAACAAGAAGACCAACCAAGGUGAUGUAGAACACAAGAAAGGAAAGGGUAAAUUCAACUGGUACAAGAAACGAUUCAAUACACUUACUGAAAUGCUAUCAAGUUUUUGGCGCCUUUGCCGAUGAUUGCCAUAUCACUAUUGAGUUAUAAUUUAUUUACUUAAUUGGAAUUUUUUACUCUGCAGUAAAAAAAUUUAGUUUAAAACUUUGCAUUACUCACAAUUUGUCUAACCUUGUAUGCGAGGCCAGUCCUUAGCUGAACUUCUCUUUGAUUCAGAAAUCGAAAAAACUACAAAAGCAAAUUGAAAGGUGAAUCGAGAAAGGAGACAAAGGGAAGGACAAUUAAUAGUAGAAGAAAACGAUUUGGGGAAUUUCUUCAUAUUUGCGGAGAUGACUGAUCUACCACCUGAACGUACCUUCGGCGAGUAUGGGAAUCGAGAUAGAAAUCGGGCUCGGUUAGCCACCCAUAACCAACCGGUUAUAGUCAACAAGUUUGAAAUAAGUCUCGCUCUAUACCGAGAGUUGAAGGAGAUUCUUUUUCCGGUAAACAUAACGAAGACGUCAAUAGACAUCUCACAAACUUCUUUGAACUAUGUGAAACAGUGAAGGUGGAUGGUUGCUCUGAAGAAGGAAAAAGGUUGAGACUAUUUCCAUUGUCAUUGAAAGAUGAUGCUAAGGAGUGGCUUAAUUCUUUACCUUCUGAUAGCAUCACCACAUGGGACGAACUUGAAGAUAAGUUAUUGGAACAAUACUUUUCCCCUGUUGUGUUCGUUAGAAAAAGGCAAGAGAUUUCCAGUUACAAACAUAAAAAAGGAGAAUCUUUUCGUGACACUUAUAGGAGGUUCAAGAGUUUACUAGCAGGAUGCCCCAAUCAUGCUUAUGACGACACUACUCAGAUGCAAAUAUUUUAUAAUGGUUUGAGGCCUAACACUAGAAUUAUGUUGGAUGCUACAGCAGGCGGUUCUUUGAAUUACAAAACCACAUCAGAAGCACACAAAAUUAUUGAGAUCAUGGCAUCAAAUAAACAAAUGAUGUUCUAUGAUAGAGGUUUUGGGUUAAAAAGUGGUAUGCUAGAAUUGAAUGUUAUGGAUGUUGGAUUGACUCAAGGGAAGUUGCUCUCAAAACAGAUAGAAGAUGUUAUCGUCGCUGAGAUAAAGAAUGGGAUGGCAGCUCUAAAUAUACAACCCCAAGUGGCCUCAUUCAAAUUAUUGAAACAUACAGGUUGUGAUUUUUGUGGGGGAGCACAUAAAAAUGGAACUUGUGAAGUACCAGAUGAUGAUGAUACAGAAGAACUAGAAGAGAUGAACUUUGUGGGUAACAACGGGAAGCAGAACAAUCCUCACUCUAGUACAUACAAUCUGGGUUGGAGAAAUCAUCUAAUUUUUUCAUGGAAAGAUCAACACGAUGGACCCCAAGGUCAACAAGGAGCUCAAUCAAAUCAAGCUACAUCUCGUAAAGAUGCUUGGGAGAUUGCUAUUGAGAAGUUAGCAAUGAACACAAGUGCUUUCAUUGAAGAGUCAAGAGCCGUCCAUAAAAAUCACUCAGCUUCAAUCAAGAACCGUGAGACCCAAAUGGGUCAAAUUGCUCAACAGCUAGCACAAAGAGCGCUCGAAAAUUUGUUUAGUGACACAGUUCCGAAUUCACGAAAUAAUGUCAAUGUUGUGACAACGAGAGUGACAAGGUAAUUGAACCAGUACCACCUAAAGCCAAAAAGGGUGGAAGCGCUUCAAUUCCAUCCACUCGGAGGAGAUGUUCAACCCAACAUCAGUUGAGGAGGACAUCAUUCUUGAAAAGGAGGAAUAACAUGUGGUGUAGAAAAAGAGGCCCUGCCAUAGCCUGAAAUUCGACUUCCAUUCCCUCAAAGAUUAAGAAAUGAAGAAACUGAAAAAUGAUUUGGUAAGUUUCUUGAUGUUUUUAAAAAAUUGCAAAUUAACAUUCCUUUUGCAGAAGAACUAGAGCAGAUAAAGGCUUACGCCAAGUUCUUGAAGGAUAUUAUGUUAAAGAAAAGAAAAAUUGGCGAUGAAACAGUGAUACUUACUGAAGAGUGCAUUGCUAUUCUACAAAGGAAGUUGCCACCUAAGCUCAAGAAUUCUGGAAGCUUCUCUAUUCCUUGCGCUAUUGGGGAUAGAACUUUUGGGAAAACCCUGUGUGAUAUUGGGGUUAGUGUGAGUCUUAUACCCCUUUCUAUAUACAAAAGGUUAGGCAUUGGAAGAGUCAAAGACACACAAUUGAUGUUACAAUUUGCGGAUCGUUCAACGAAACACCCAUAUGGGGUGGUGGAAGAUGUGUUGGUCAAAGUUGAUAAGUUCAUUUCUCCAGUGGAUUUUGUGGUACUAGACAUGGAGGAAGACAAUGAUAUUCCCUUGAUCUUGGGGAGACCAUUCUUAGCAACAGGGAGAGCUAUGAUUGAUGUGGCGGAUGACACCUUAACCUUUAAGGUAAAUGAGGAAACAGUUACAUUCAAUUUUCUAAAAGCCAUCGAGCAUUCAAACGAAAGAGAAAGGUGCAACCGAAUUGAGAUUUUCAAUUCGAUAGUCGAUGAAGAAGUUGAACAUCAAGGACUCAUUCAGCCGUUAGAAAGAGGGUUAUGCCUACCCCCNNNNNNNNNNCAAGAGUGAAAUGUGUUUUAUCCAUGUUAGAAGCAUCACCAUCUCGUUCCCCUCGUGUCUAUACUAGAUGGGAGGAGUUGAAAGGGAAUGAAGAAGAGUAUGUAGAGAAAAAGAAAGAGACACCACUAGUUGAGCUCAAUCAAUUGUCACCUCACUUGAAAUCUGUAUUCGUUGGUGAGAAAGAUGAUGUGUUCUUUGUGUCAUAUAAUACACCUUGACAAUGGUUGAGGCGUCAAGCUAAUGACUUUAAAGAAACGCUUUGUGGGAGACAACCCAUAGGUAGAGGUAACUUUUAUUUUUACAAUCUUAUUUUUUUUAUUUGAAUUUAUUUCUUUUUAAUUGUGUGUAAAUGUGCACUAUGAUGAAGAAUUUUUAACAACUUGAAGCUGGUCUUAAGCUAUUUGUUUGAGAUUUUGAAAUUUAAAUUCUAUUUCUUUGCUCAUAUCAUUGUUCAAUUCGACGAGUUCACUAAUGCAUACAUUGUUGAUUACUCUUUGGUUGUGGAAGUCUUGACAUUCUUAAAAAAAUAAAAUAAAUUGUAGUGACAUGUUUGGCAUCGUUUAGAUAGUUCAUACUCUGUUUGUGUACUUUAAUAAAUAACAUCUUCUUGGUUCUUUUGUCAAUGUUUGAGAAUCUCCACAAUGAAAAUGUGAAGAAAAAAAAGUGGUAGAAUAAUUGGAAAUUGUGUACCUAACUCCAAAUACUAAAGCCAAUUAUCCCAAAAUGUCUUACCCUUACCUAAGUCUCAUUACAACCCGAAUGUUAACUAGAAUUUUUUUCGAGCCUAUGGUAGCGCGCUGCAUGUUCUAGGAUUUGAGUGAUAAAUUCAUAACCCUAUCUAAACACUUGAGAGAAAUUUUAGUGAGAUUGUGUGAAGAGAGAGUUGAACUUGAUGAAUGAAUGCUAAAGUGUACAAAUUGUGUAUUUUUUUUUAGCAACCAUGGAGCAUGAUGAAUGUUUUGUAGUAGCUGGAACUUUGAGAAUUGAGUUUGAUUUGAUUUGAGAAUUGAGUUUGAUUUGAUUUGAGAAAUUGAGUUUAAGUUUAAUUUUAACUGUACCAAAUCUGAAUUUAAUCCACAAGCAACAGACUAAGUUUGGGGUUGUGAUGACUCUUCAUCAUAUGCAUAUUUUUCAUUGUUUUUAGUCUUAUUUAUCUUUAAUCAUUAGUUAAUUUAAGAAGUUAUUUGAUAUAUUUUGUUUAUUUUAGUUCUUAGAUUUAAUGAAAUGUUUAUAUUCUUAUUUCCUUGAUUAAGUAGAGAUUUUUUUGUAGUUUUGCGUUGUUUCUUUGUUUUAGUGCAAUGCUGAAUUUUGGUGAGAAAUCAACAUGACUUAGGUGGAGUAUUGCAACCAUUGCUAGAGUUGUAGAUGUCCAAUUGGAUUCAAACCAAGUGAAAAUGAAAGCUAAGAUCCAUAGCUACAACUUUCAUGAAGACACUAGAACCAAAUUAGGACUCAAAAGAGGAGACAAAAUGACUAAAUGCCAAACAUAAGAGGCUUUGCGCUUGAAGCGCAUAACCUGUGCCUGGGGCGCGCGACGCGUAGCAAAACACAUUAAAACACGUUUUUCUCACUGUUUAGGCAUCUUUUUUACUAUUGGGAAGUUGGGAGACUUGUGCCCCUAGCAGAGAAACUCAAAGACGACUAGCUGUUCUUAACACCAUUGGAAGAGUUUUAUCAGGAAUCAUUCAUGAAUCCUUCUUGUAAUUCUUCUUUAAUCCCUAUAUUUUGUAUCUAUGUCAUGAGUAACGAAACCCUAUUUGUUAGGGAUGAGCGAAACAAGAUGAAUUCCCUUAUUUUUCUCAUAUAUGUGUUUAAUGCUUUUUAUUGCUUGAUCAACAUUAAAAUGUUCUACGAUUCGUAUUUUGAAACGGAAGUGGGCUUUACGAAUGCUUGAGAUGAGAAAUUCAUGAUAUUGUAGUCUAGGGAUAGAUGCAGGUCAUGAAACCAAUUAAAUUUGUUGCAAAGAUAGUAGUUUAAAAAGAGAAUUCCUAUACCAUAAAGCUUAAUUCUAAUCUUAAUUCCACUAAGGAAUUAUGGGUUACUUUGGAAUUAAAGGUUACGUCAAUAAGACAUUAUGGCAAGAAUAAUAAAGAGAAUCCAGUAAUAAUUCAAUAAAGGAAUUAGUAACUAGGAUCAAAUUAGACACCAAGGUUGGAUACGAAGUGAAACUUAUUCCUGACAUUUUUCUUAUAGUAAAAGAUCAAUUUUAUUACUGUUGUUAAUUUCAAAUAUUAUUUCAAUCAUUUCUGAAAUUUUUUGUUCAAUUUUAGUAAUUAAAUACAAUUCGAUAGUAAAACGCAAUCCUUCAAUUCGACACUUGGUACUACCAUUUUAUUAUUACUUGCAACGAUUCAGUGCACUUGCUGAAACGCUAUCACUACCAAAGCGAAGAACGUUCCUCGUUAGACUCAGAAAAACAUUAUUGUUAAUGGCUACCACAAACUAAGAACCUUCUUCGUCCCAGUUCUGGUUUUUUUAUACUGGUUGUUCUAAUCAUAUGAUUGGACAUAAGGAGUGGUUUGUGAGUCUUAAUGAAAGAAUAAAAAGGGAAAUCAUAUUUGCAAAUAAUAGCAAAGUAACUGCAUAAAUAGUAGGAAAUGUGUUCAUUCAAAGGAGAGAUGGAAAAUAGUCUUUCAUAUGUGAUGUGUUGUAUGUGCCAAGAAUGAAGAACAAUCUGCUAAGUCUUGGAAAACUGCUUGAAAAGGGAUAUUCAAUGAAGAUGAAACAUGGACAAAUAAAGAUGUUUGAUAAUGCAAAAAGGUUUGUAUUUAAGGCACCAUUGUCCAAAAACAAAACCUUCAAACAACACUGCCAACCAGAUCUUCAAGAAUGAUGGACGUUGAAGGAUUGAAUGAGAUUUUGAAUCCAAGGAAAGGUGAUGUUGGUACCCCAGCUUUUCAAUCUCGUACGACUUCUAGAACUACAACUCAAAAGAAAAAUAGUCAAUCGUGUAGCAAGAGCAAAAGUUGUUGUAGGAGAUGUUGAGCAAGAGAACAAAUAUGUUAAUGUUCCAUUCCCUCUUGUUGUUGUGCCAAGUAGCAAAAGAAGGGUCCCUGUAUUUUCUACUCGUAGAAAGAAGGAAGUGAUUGGGCUGGAUGACGAUAGUGGUGAUGGUAAGAGUGAGGUCCAAGGGAAACCAGUAGAUGCGGCUAAAACUCAUGUUGUAGCUCCUAGCAGUAGGACAAGAGCUGUUAGCCGUUUGGUUUGCACAAAAAUGAGAUCCCUGAUGGCACUUUAGUGCAGAAAGCAGCAUAUAGCACCAGGAGGUCCGUGAGAUUGUUGGGGAAGAGCUUGUCAAAGAUGAGUUUAGUCGACACUGAGGACAUGGGGUUGACCAAGAAUUAUGAUGUUUCUGAAGAAAUGAGUGGUGUAUCCAACUUAUAAAGGAAUCAUUUGACACUGAUGUGGACCUAGCACAGGCUUGCGGUGCAUGCAUAGUUGGAUUCAAUGUCAGGAAUCCACCUAUUUCUCUUAGGACAUUUUUCUCGAGAAUGCGCAAGACAUCCAAGUGUUCAUAGAAUGAGAAAGCACAUAGAAACAAGGUUUUAUUUUCUAAGAGAUCAAGUGAUGAAAGGCAAGAUAAAGCUAGAACAUUACAAUACCAAUGAUCAAAAGGCUGACAUUAUAACUAAAAGCUUAAAGAGGGUGAAAUUCAAAGAGAUGUGUAACAAUCUUGGAUUAAUAUCAAAUUGAAUCACUUUGAAUUAGGGGGCAUGUUAAAUAUAAUUAAAAGUGAUUUAUAGUUAGUUAGGAAAGUUAGAAGUAGUUAAGAAGGUUAGAAUUUUGUUUUGACAGUUAGUGCUCAAAACUGAUAUAAAAUUUGUAAUACAGAGAACAUUCUCUAGAUGUAGUUCAUCAAUCUCCGAUUUCAGAAUAUUUUGUUUUAUUUUCUCUUCUUCUCAAUUUUAAUUACUCUCAAUUAUGCAACUUGUUCUAACAAUGUUAACUCUUCUUUGGAAGAUGUUAUCUUUUGUAUUGGUUGAGUCAGGAUGAAUCAUGGUCUCCCUAGAAUUUGUAUAAUGAAUAGUGCAAUCAAUCCCAAGAAAUACUUAAAUUUGAAUUUGCAAUAUAUAUAUAUAUAUAUGUCAAAAUAUGUUUUAUAACAUUUUAUCUAUUUGAUUGCCUCUUUUAGAACCUGAUGUAUAAAGUAUUUUUUAGAAUUUAGAAUUAAUGUUUAAAUAUGUUUUAGUCCCUAAAAGAUCUUCAUUCUUGUAAAAUGGAUAGAAGUAAAAAUGGAUACUUUUUUUGUAGUGACUAAAAAACAUUUAGUGAUUGGGGUUAGUAUAUGCUAAUAAUAUUUGGAAUAACGUGGUCAACAAAGUGAAUGAACGAAACAGUCAAAUGUGUUCCCUGUAACUAGUGAAAUUAUGGUAUUAGUUUUGUGGUUGUGACAUUAGAUGGAAAAACGUGUAUUUAUAGGGGUGCUAAUUAAAGAUAACAAUAGCUAGAAAUUGUGAUUGUAUUCAAUAAGGUGAAGCUAGUGAUUUUGCUGCUGUUUUUAUAUCUGAUGUGUCCUACAUUUGCACCUCUUAUAGUUCUGUAAUAUAUUUGUGUAUAAUUUUUUGUUUUGAAAAAAAAUAAAUAUUCCUACGGUCAUUCUAUCAAGUUGUAAUAUAUUACAUUAUUUCAAAGAAUGAGUGUCAUGACAAAGGUUUUGCAUAACUCAUAUUACUAAAUCUAUUAAUCAAUUGUAUUAUAAGAGUUGAGAUAUUAUUUUUAACUAUAAAAAAAAUACAUAUUUAGAAGUAUGAGAUUUUUAUAGGAAUAAAAAUUCUAUAUGUAUUUUAUUCACAACAAAGAUGGUAUUCCUUCUCAAAUGAAAAAAAUUAUAUCUUUUAAACAUGUUUUGUAAAAUUUUGAUUUGAGUAUAAAACACGUGACAACUAAUCACAGGUAAUAAAAUUGUGACAAAGUGUAAAUAACACAUGUAUUGAAUUGAAAUGUCCUUCCAUGCACCAAAACACAUGUAUUAUAUUUUUCUAACAAAAAAGUUAUAUACGGUUGAAUUAGUAUUUUGUCUACACACAUGUUAUUAGUGUAUUAGUUCAAAAGAUUUUGACCAAACAAAAAUAAGUAGCAAAUUAGCCAAAUGCACUUUCUCUGCCAAUGUUCUUAGUAAGGGAGAGAUACAUACUCUCAAUUCAGAGGAAGUAAAGACAUGUCAUAUGCUUUUUAGACGAGACCUCAAAUGACGGCAUGAGAUAUAAUAUAAGGUAGUGGUUGAUGUAUAGAAUUGGUGGAAAAUGAAAGGUAGAAAAAGAAGAUUGACACAUCAGAUUUUUGCUGAAGUGGCACAAAUUCGAUUUUAUGGCAUUCGACCAGAUGAAAUAUCAACUUGUGGUGUUGGAGUUAUGUUAUAAUAAUUAACUAGAUAGACGCUAACCCGCGUAUUGUGCGGGUAUAUUUUUAUUUAUUAAAUUUAAGUGGAUUUAGAAGAAAAAAAUAUAUGAAGUUUUAUGUCCUAAUUAAGUAUUUAGAUCAAUAAUAUAUAUAUACAAUUUUACCAAUAUAAUUAAUAGAAGAGAAGUAUCAAUUUAGACGAAUGACUUGAAUAAAUAAAUUACCGUAUUAAUAUUGAGAUCGUUGGAUAUGUUAAAUAUUGAAAUAAGAUAUUUGAUAAUUGAAAUUAAGAUAUACAAUUGAGUUACAAAAUAUAUUACUUUAUUGUUGAAACUAAAAAUGAUUAAAGUAAAAUACAUGGAAAUACAUUCAUCUUGUAUUUUACUUUAUGGUAAUUGUGAUUUUUUUUUUAUUUUAAAUCGGAUAUAUUAGAAUUUUAAUUUACAAACAUUCAAAUUGUUAUUAACAUUAAUAGAGUAAUCAUAAUGAUUAACAUUUUGGUUUCAAAAUCGAAAUUCAAAAUUUAUAACAAUUACAAAAUAUUAAUCCUCAAACAAUUAUAAAUAUAUAUUAAAUAUAAAUAAUUGCAAAUGAAUUACUUUAAUUUCAUACCAAUUAACACUAUAAAACAAUAAAUUUAAUUUAAAUAAUUUCAGUAAAAUAAAGUUGACCAAAAUCCAACAAACAUAUUUUGUCCAUCAUUUCUAAAUAUUUAUAUGCUAUAUAUAUUUACCAAUAUUCAAAAAUGAAAAUCAAAUAUAAAUAUUUUUUUGUUCUCUCACUCGAUCAUUUUAAUUUGAAAACUAAUUACAAAAUAUUAAUUGUCAAACAAUUAUACAACAAAUAUAAAAAAUUGCAAAUAUAAAACAACAAAUCAAAUUUAAUUAAUUUCAAUAAAAAAAAAACUUACCAAAAUUCAAAGAGUCAUGACUUUGUCCAUCAUUUUUAAAUAUUUAUAUACUAUAUAUUUACCAAUAUUCAAAGUAGAAAAUCAAAUACAAAUAUUUUUUGUUCUCUCAUUCGAUCAUUUUAAUCAUCAAUCUUUUGUGAUAAUUGUGAAANNNNNNNNNNNNNNNNNNNNNNNNNNNNNNNNNNNNAAACUAUUAUUAAUAUUAAAUAGAGUAAUCAUAAUGAUUAAUAUUUUGGUUUCAAAACCAAAAUUCAAAAUUUAUAACAAUUCGGUUACAAAAUAUUAAUUGCCAAACAAUUUUAAGUAUACAUUAAAUACAAAUAAUUGCAAAUAAAUUACUUUAAUUUCAUGUCAAUUAACAUUAUAAAACAACAAAUUAAAUUUAAUUAGUUUCAGUAAAAUAAAACAGACAAAAAUUAAAAGAGACAUGACUUUGUCCAUCAUUUCUAAAUAUUUAUAUAUUAUAUAUAUUUACAAUAUUCAAAAUUCAAACUAUUAUUAAUAUUAAAUAGAGUAAUCAUAAUGAUUAAUAUUUUGGUUUCAAAACCAAAAUUCAAAAUUUAUAACAAUUCGGUUACAAAAUAUUAAUUGCCAAACAAUUUUAAGUACGCAUUAAAUACAAAUAAUUGCAAAUGAAUUACUUUAAUUUCAUGUCAAUUAACACUAUAAAAUAACAAAUUAAAUUUAUUUAAUUUCAAUAAAAUUAAAUUGAUCAAGAUUCAAAAACACAUAAUUUUGUCAAUAAUUUAUAAAUAUUUAUAUAUACUAUAUAUAUUUACCAAUAUUCAAAGUAGAAAAUUAAAUACAAAUAUUGUUUGUUCUCUCACUCGAUCAUUUUACUUAUCGAUCUUUGUGGUAAUUGUGAAUUUUUUUUACUUUAAAUCGGAUAUAUUAGAAUUUUAAUAAUUUACAAACAUUCAAACUAUUAUUAAUAUUAAUUGAGUAAUCAUAAUCAUUAAUAUUUUGAUUUCUAAACCGAAAUCUAAAAUUUAUAACAAUUCAGUUACAAACUAUUAAAUUGUUAAACAAUUACAAGUAUACAUCAAAUACAAAUAAUUGUAAAUGAAUUACUUUAAUUUCAUAUCAAUUAAAACUAUAAAACAACAAAUUAAAUAUAAUUAGUUUCAGUAAAAUAAAACUAACCAAAAUUCAAAGAGAAAUGACUUUGUCCAUCAUUUCUAAAUAUUUAUAUAUUAUAUAUAUUUACCAAUAUUCAAAGUAGAAAAUUAAAUACAAAUAUUGUUUGUUCUCUCACUCGAUCAUUUUACUUAUCGAUCUUUGUGGUAAUUGUGAAUUUUUUUUACUUUAAAUCGGAUAUAUUAGAAUUUUAAUAAUUUACAAACAUUCAAACUAUUAUUAAUAUUAAUUGAGUAAUCACAAUCAUUAAUAUUUUGAAUUCUAAACCGAAAUCUAAAAUUUAUAACAAUUCAGUUACAAACUAUUAAAUUGUUAAACAAUUACAAGUAUACAUCAAAUACAAAUAAUUGUAAAUGAAUUACUUUAAUUUCAUAUCAAUUAAAACUAUAAAACAACAAAUUAAAUAUAAUUAGUUUCAGUAAAGUAAAACUAACCAAAAUUCAAAGAGAAAUGACUUUGUCCAUCAUUUCUAAAUAUUUAUAUAUUACAUAUAUUUACCAAUAUUCAAAGUAAAAAAUCAAAUAUAAAUAUUAUUUUUUUCUCUCACUAUCAUUUUAAUAAUCGAUCUUUGUGGAAAUUUUGAUUUUUUUUAACUUUAAAUUGGAUAUAUUAUGAUUUUAAUUUACAAACAUUAUUUCUUAAAUUAAUAUUUAUUUAGUAAUCAUAAUCAUUAACAUUUUGGUUUCAAAAUCGAAAUCUAAAAUUUAUAAAAAUUCGGUUACAAAAUAUUAAUUGUCAAACAAUUAUAAGUAUACAUCAAAUACAAAUAAUUGCAAAUAAAUUACUUCUUACAUAUAAAUCCAAUUUUUUAAACAUUCAAUAAUGUAUCGAGAUACUUCAGUUCCAAGUUGUCUUUUUUUUUUUUUACGGAAUUUUCUAAUAAAUUUAGAGAUAUAACAUUUUCGUUGAAAAUUUAUUAAUUUUUUGUUGUUGCAAUUUAAGCGAUACUUUAUUUGUAUUUAUAUAUAAUAAAUUACAAUGAAAACAUGUAUUUAUAUGUAAUGAAUUUGGUUGUUGAGGAGCACUCAAGAGUUUUCAGAAGAUUUUAGGUCCAAAAUCAAAUAAAACUAAUAUAACUAUGUUAUAAAAAAAAAUGUUUUCAGUUAUUACGAAUGAUGUUGAAUAAGUUAUGAUUAUUUUGUGUAAGAAGAUUAAAAAUAAAAUAAUAACUUAAAGGAUAACUAAAUGCUAAAAUGAAAUUUAAUAUUAGUAUGUAUUUAUUUGUUGAAACUUCAAAUGUUUUGUUUAAAGUAAAUUUCAAUUUCAAUUAGUUUUAAAUAAUUUUAUCAAAAAAUUAUUUAUUAACUAUUAAAAAAAUAAAAAUUGUAAUAUUUUGUAUUAAAGAGUAAAAUGUCAUUAAUUAAAUUUUAUUAUUAAAAUUAAAAAAAAUCAAGAUUACAUUGUUUUAAAAGUUUAUAUGCUAUCAUGGUUGAGUGAGAUGUAAGAUGAAUUUAAACUCUCUAGUAUUGAAUCGAUUAAACAUGAAAGAGGUUAUUUUUUAAUGUCGCGUCAAUUUUAUAGACAUAAGCUACAAUUUUUUUAAUAAGACAUAAGCUACAAAUUGUUAUAGAGAAUACCAAAUAUUUUAUGAAAAUCUAAUAGAAUGAAAGAGAACCGCAAAUAACUAAAUUAUUUUUGACAUAUAGAGAAUACCAAGAUGUGAUGAAAAUCUUAUAGAAUGAAAGAGAACUGCAAAUAACUGGACAUAUAGAGAAUACCAAGAUGUCAUGAAAAUCUUAUAGAACGAAAAAGAACUGCAAAUAACUGAAUUUUUUCUGCAUAUAAAUUCAAUUUUUCAAACUCAAAGUAUGUACCUUUGAAAUGUAUCGAGAUGCUCCAGUUUCAAUUUUUUGUCUUUUAGAUAGAUAGAUAGAUAGAUAGAUAGAUAGAUAGGUAGAUAGAUAGGUAGAUAGAUAGAUAGAUAGAUAGAUAGAUAGAUAGAUAGAUAGAUAGAUAGAUAGAUAGAUAGAUAGAUAGAUAGAUAGAUAGAUAGAUAGAUAGAUAGAUAGAUAGAUAGAUAGAUAGAUAGAUAGAUAGAUAGAUAGAUAGAUAGAUAGAUAGAUAGAUAGAUAGAUAGAUAGAUAGAUAGAUAGAUAGAUAGAUAGAUAGAUAGAUAGAUAGAUAGAUAGAUAGAUAGAUAGAUAGAUAGAUAGAUAGAUAGAUAGAUAGAUAGAUAGAUAGAUAGAUAGAUAGAUAGAUAGAUAGAUAGAUAGAUAGAUAGAUAGAUAGAUAGAUAGAUAGAUAGAUAGAUAGAUAGAUAGAUAGAUAGAUAGAUAGAUAGAUAGAUAGAUAGAUAGAUAGAUAGAUAGAUAGAUAGAUAGAUAGAUAGAUAGAUAGAUAGAUAGAUAGAUAGAUAGAUAGAUAGAUAGAUAGAUAGAUAGAUAGAUAGAUAGAUAGAUAGAUAGAUAGAUAGAUAGAUAGAUAGAUAGAUAGAUAGAUAGAUAGAUAGAUAGAUAGAUAGAUAGAUAGAUAGAUAGAUAGAUAGAUAGAUAGAUAGAUAGAUAGAUAGAUAGAUAGAUAGAUAGAUAGAUAGAUAGAUAGAUAGAUAGAUAGAUAGAUAGAUAGAUAGAUAGAUAGAUAGAUAGAUAGAUAGAUAGAUAGAUAGAUAGAUAGAUAGAUAGAUAGAUAGAUAGAUAGAUAGAUAGAUAGAUAGAUAGAUAGAUAGAUAGAUAGAUAGAUAGAUAGAUAGAUAGAUAGAUAGAUAGAUAGAUAGAUAGAUAGAUAGAUAGAUAGAUAGAUAGAUAGAUAGAUAGAUAGAUAGAUAGAUAGAUAGAUAGAUAGAUAGAUAGAUAGAUAGAUAGAUAGAUAGAUAGAUAGAUAGAUAGAUAGAUAGAUAGAUAGAUAGAUAGAUAGAUAGAUAGAUAGAUAGAUAGAUAGAUAGAUAGAUAGAUAGAUAGAUAGAUAGAUAGAUAGAUAGAUAGAUAGAUAGAUAGAUAGAUAGAUAGAUAGAUAGAUAGAUAGAUAGAUAGAUAGAUAGAUAGAUAGAUAGAUAGAUAGAUAGAUAGAUAGAUAGAUAGAUAGAUAGAUAGAUAGAUAGAUAGAUAGAUAGAUAGAUAGAUAGAUAGAUAGAUAGAUAGAUAGAUAGAUAGAUAGAUAGAUAGAUAGAUAGAUAGAUAGAUAGAUAGAUAGAUAGAUAGAUAGAUAGAUAGAUAGAUAGAUAGAUAGAUAGAUAGAUAGAUAGAUAGAUAGAUAGAUAGAUAGAUAGAUAGAUAGAUAGAUAGAUAGAUAGAUAGAUAGAUAGAUAGAUAGAUAGAUAGAUAGAUAGAUAGAUAGAUAGAUAGAUAGAUAGAUAGAUAGAUAGAUAGAUAGAUAGAUAGAUAGAUAGAUAGAUAGAUAGAUAGAUAGAUAGAUAGAUAGAUAGAUAGAUAGAUAGAUAGAUAGAUAGAUAGAUAGAUAGAUAGAUAGAUAGAUAGAUAGAUAGAUAGAUAGAUAGAUAGAUAGAUAGAUAGAUAGAUAGAUAGAUAGAUAGAUAGAUAGAUAGAUAGAUAGAUAGAUAGAUAGAUAGAUAGAUAGAUAGAUAGAUAGAUAGUCGAUCUAAACAUGACCAAGUAAUUAUGUCUAACAAGAUGAGUGAAUCUAUUAUCUAUUAUAAUAUAUUAAAAUCGACACUCAACUUUUAUUACGAUACGUCAUCAGAUAUUGUGUCACUUCAUUCAAAAAAUAUGAUGUGGCAUAUCUAACAAGCACUAUUUAACCAUUCUUAUUAUUCUAUACUUUCAAUUUGCUAUAACACAUUUUUUACUUUAACACACAUUUUACUGUUACUAUUUUAGCAUCUAAUAUUUUGUGGAGGUAUUGAUGUGCCAUGAGUUACAAAAUACAAUACAAUAAAUAUUAGUUAUUUGACACUCUCCUUCGUUUUUUUUGGAAACAAUGUAUUAACUCUCAAUUAAUAUAUUGGUUCAUUUUAAAGAUUUCUCAAGAAAUACAUACAUGCCUACAAUUAGUGAAAAUUAUUUUAUAUCGUAUAUUGUUUAUGUUUAUUUGGAAAUAGCAAGAUAUAAUUAGGUCUCUAUGCAACUCUUCUAUGCUCAUUUACAUACUUUUCAAACUUUUUUCCUUUUAGAUUAAUAUAAAGUGUGAGAAUAUUUAUAUUUUUUUAGUUUACAUCUUUGAAUUUAACUCUAUUUAUAUGUUUUGAUAUAUUUGUGGUCAAUUGUUGUUGUUGACAUUUGGUCCAAAUACAUAAGUUUUUUUGUGUGUCUAAAUUGUGCUUAUAUUUUAUUACAUUGUAUAUUAUUUGUCUUCCAAUGUAUUUGUCAAAUAUAUGUUGAAAUUUGAAAUAUGUUUCUAACACAAAAAUGAAAAAGUUACACAAUAUUAUAUGAUGACAAUUACACUAUUUUUCUCACCCCAUCUUUAGACACAUCGAGUCAAAGAAUGUAACACUUAACUCUCUAAGAUUUCCUCAUAUGAAGAAUAGGAAAUACUUUAUGUUUAUGAUAUAUACAUAUCGCACAUUUUUAUAGUUUCUACAAUUAUUUAAUUUCUUCAAAUUGAAUAUUACAUAGUAUCAUCUAUUAAUAAAAAUAGUUAUUUUUUUGUGAGAUCUAUAAAAUAUACAAAUCUAUCUCACGUCACUUAGUAGAUAACCAAAAUUAAUAAUUAAAUCAGAUAGCGGGAUAUAAUUUAGAAUUAGGUCAACAAUACGUUAUUGAAGUAAAAAGUUCUUUAGAUUCAAUUUAUAUUGUUUUGACGUGGAUUUUUUCUAUUUUUUCUUAUUAUACCAUUGUUCAUAUGGACUUUGCGGAAAAUUUGUAUGUUCUCCAAAAUAUUGAAUUUUUUUGUAGGGUUAUAUACUAAAAUAUAUUUUUAAUUUUUUUUAAAUAGUAAAUUAUUAUUUUUUUUUUGUAAAAAAUAGUAAAUUGUUUCGGUACUAGAAAAAAGUUAUCUCAAACACAUAUUUUUAAACAGUGUUUGCAUUAUACGAAACAUGUUUCGAUAGACCAAAAUUGUAAUUUAUAAACAACAUAUGGACACUUCAACUCACUGAUACAUUUUUUCUAAGGACAAAAUCGUAAAAUCUUAUUGUCAAAUUGUAUGCAUAAUAUUAUAGAACAUUUAAGAAAAUUAUAUGUUUACCUACGCAACACGCGGGCCUUAAUCUAGUAAAUAUUAGUUAUUUGACACUCAUUGUUCCUCUAUCAUUUUUUUGCAUUGGCUCUUCCUAUUGUUUUAACCCUCAAUUAAUAUAUUAAAUUGUUUUAAAGGAUUUUCAAGAAAUACAUAGGUUUCUCAAAAAAUACAUGACUUCAAUUAGUUGAAGUUAUUUUAUAUCGUAUAUUGUUUAUGUUUAUUUAGACAUAAGAAGACAAUGACAUAUAUGAUUAGGUCUCUAUGGAACUCAUUCUAUGCUAAUUUACAUGCUUUCAAACUUUUUUCCUUUAAGAUAAACAAAAAGUGUGAGAUUUUUAUAUUUUUUAGUUUACAUCUUGGAGUUUUAAUUCUAUUUAUAUGCUUUGAUAUAUUUGUGGUUAAUUGUUGCUGUUGACAUUUGAUCAAAUACAUCCGUUUUUUUGUCCAAACCGUGCUUAUAUUUUACAUAGUAUAUCAUGUGUCAUCCAAUAUAUUUUUCAAAUUUAUGUUGAAACUUGAAACAGGUUUCUAACACCAAUACACACCUCUUAAAUUUUAGUGAUAAUUUGAAUAAGUUAUACAAUAUUAUAUAAUGACAACUACACUAUCUUUAUCACCUCAUCUUUAGACACAUCGAGUCAAACAAUGUAACACUUAACUCUCUAAGAUUUCCUCAGACGAAGAGUAAUAAAUACUUCAUGUCUAUGAUACAGACUUAUCCCACAUUUUUAGUUUUUACAAUUAUUUAACUUCUUCAAAUUGAAUAUUAUAUAGUAUCAUUACGAAAAAAAAAAUAUUUUUUCAUAAAAAAAUAGUUAUUUUCAGUGAGAUCUAUAAAAUAUAGAAAUCUAUUUCACAUCACUUAUUAGAUAUCAAAAUUAAUAUUUAAAUUAGAUGGAGAGAUAUAAUUUAGAAUUUGGCCAACAAUUUAUUAUCGACUUUUUAACGUUCGUGUUUCUAUUUGUUCUUAUUAUACCAUUGUUGAUAUAGACUUAGAGGAAAAUUUAUAUGUUCUCCAAAAUAUUGAAUUUGUUUUGUAUAGGUAUAUACUAAAAUAUAUUUUUAAAUUUUUUUUAAUAGAUUUUUUUUUACAAAAUAGAAAAUUGUUUCUGUACUAGAAAAAGUUAUCUCAAACAUAUAUUUUUUAAACAUUAUUUGCAUUAUAUCAAACUUGUUUCGAUAUACCACAAUUUUUAAUUUGUAAACAAUAUAUAUACGCUUCAACCCAUCGUUAUAUUUUUUUUAAUGACAAAAUCAUAAAAUUUUAUUCUAGAUUAUUUUCAAAUUAUAUAACGUGUCAACAAUAUAUUGUGAUGCAACUUUGCAGAUCAAUUUUAAUUACAAAUCCAAUAGAAUGUUUUGUGUGGUAUCAUAGCCUUAACUUGAAGAGCAGGUGCAUAUGGUAUGGAUAUAAUAAAGAGAGUAAGGAAGGAAGGAAAUCAAUCAAUCAUAGAAACACCAGAACCAACACAUCAACUCAUUACUCUCACUUCUUCAUUAUCUCUUCCUAAAUAUGAUUCCCACAAAAUAGAAAACCAUGUUGGGUAUUCUUAUGUCCCAGAAGAUAUUCAAAUAACUAAAACUAUACCUCCCCUUUUAAGUCCUUAUAAUAUUUUCAAAAGACAAAGAUCAAUCACCCGAUCUAUCAGAAACUUAAUCUCUACAAAUCACCCUUAUAUGAAAGAAUAUGUCCAGUCAUCUCGACUUGACAAAUGUAAUGUGAGAGCAACAAACUAAGAACAAUAUGUGGAUUUAGAGAUUCCUCAAGGUCUCAUAAACCACUGGAAAUCUGAAGGAUACACAACUUUACAUUUUUGAGCUGUCAGGCUAAUCCUCUCCCUUUAUGGAUGGAAAAAUCAACCUGUCUUUUGUAAAAUAGCUCUUUUAGAUUCAAGCUACCUUCAUUAUGAAAAUGAUGUAAUAGGGUAUGUUCUAACAUCACUCCAUGCUGGAAGUGUUGUCCCCACCAUCUUCCCAAAUUAUAAUGUAAGUCUCAAUGACAACACUAUUUCUACAAGGUUGAAAGUCCAAAUCCAAAUCCAACCCUCUUUCGACAAGGUUGAAAGUCCAAAUUCAUAUAAUUGGAUCUGGUCAAGUCCCAGAAGCUUUGUUUGCAACCCUUCAUCUUCAAAUAAUCUAUCGCCUCCAAAAUCACUCCAUAGAUUUGCCACUCUCUAGAUGUUCUUCUGAUUCACUGUUGGUCGUUACCAAUAGAGAAGAAGAUAUACCCUCCAUUGUCCAGAUCCCAAGGAGAAUCACAAUAGAGGAAUUAACUCAACUAAUUCCCUUGGAAUGGAUAUCAAACUAUGAAAAAUUCCAUCAGGACAGAAGACCAAUACAAUCCCAAGAAGCCACUUUCAGGAGAUCCAUUGAAAGGUCAAUCAAAACAAUUUUCAAAAAAUCAGAUGAAGGAUCAAGUUUGGCCUCUCGAGAACCUAUCUAUACUGACAAGAUAGAUGGCUAUUUUAUUUGGGACGUAGAUCCCAGUAAGUGCGACCCAAGAUGUGACUGUUGGAUGCAUGAUAAUGAUAUUGACAGAGAUAUCAUCCUCCCUAAAAGCAAAGGGACAUGCAUAACAUCUCCUCCACCAAGUAAAAAAUCAUAUCCUGAUAACGGUCCAUGGGUAGGAAUCCAUAAUAAAAAGAAACCUCUUCCUAUCUACUGAGAAGCACUUAAAAUCCUCAAGAAAGAAAAGCUCUUGCCACCUAAUGACCCUACUCUUGUUACUUGGUCACCUUCAUACUAUUGUAAACCUUUAAACUCUCCAAAAAAUACCAAACCAAUCCCUUGUUUUAUUUUCUUAGCUUCAACAUCAAAAUAUGACCAACAAUUCCCUGCUCUAGAUAGAAAACUGGACCCAAUCACAAACAGAUCAUCCAAACCUUUCAUACAAUUCAAUGAAGUCCAACCUGAUGGAAAACUUAAACCUCUAACUCAAGUGGAGGAAUUUCUAAAUUGGCAAACAGAAAACAUGGUUGCUCAAAAUGACACUCUCCAUAAUCUAGACAUAAAGGUGAAUAAGAUUACUAAAAAAGAUAGACAAAACAGAUGAAAAUCUCAAAGUUUUUUCUCAAAAAAUACAAAAAUACUACAGAACCUUAAAAGCUCAAGUCUGUUAGUGGGAUCAUUACUUAAGAAGGAUGUUAGAAGAAAGAAAUUUUGGCCAAGAUUUUGACCGAAAAGAAAGAGAAAUCAGAAAGUUACAAAGCCAAGCGAAAAUGAUUGAUGAUUUCUUGAGAGCUUCCAAAGAAGAAAAACCUAAACUUGUUGAAGAUCUUUUCUUUAACCCUCCUAAUUUUUCUACUUAUUUCACAAGACCAGAAAAGCCAUCUCCUAUGUAUCCUACCUAUGCUUCAUCACCACCAAAUUAUGCCAAAUACAUACCCUCAACUUAUAGACCAAAAUAUGCCAGAACUAUAAAACCCCAACCUCCAGGUCCAAUGAAAAAACCAUUUGCUUAAGUGUAUCAUCCUCAAACACUGAAGAUGUUCCUGAAACACCUCCUCCAAAAUUCCAAAAGGAAGAAAUUACUGAUAAAAUUUUCCUAUGGAAAAGGUAAGGAAAAGGAAAGCUUUGAAGUUCUUUAAAAGGAAGCAAUUUAGAGGAAAAGAGAAAAAUCAAAUAUGUUUUGUUUGUGGAGAAAAGGGACAUUUUUCUAAGAGAUGUCCUAAUAAAACCAAUAAAUCCGCAAAGUUGAUCAACUCUCUUCAACCUCGAGAAGGAGAUCUAGAAUCGUUGUAUUCUAAACAAAGAUCUGUCGAUGAAGAAGGGUGUGUCUGGAAGAAAAGGGGAGUGGUGAGAAAAAGGAAUUAUGCCGUAUUCUUUGAGUUGGGAUGGUGAGAAAGACGAAUCUAUUCCAGGAGGAAAAUUCUUGAUCGUAGAGGCAUGGGUUGGUAGUAGGUUGAUCAUGAGAAUCAAUGGAAAUGUGUGUGUUUUAGUGAUGAUCUGGAUGGGUUUCAUGGGUCUGGAAAGUAAAUCAUAAAUCAAAUUUUGAUUUCCUUUGAUAUGUUUUACAGUAAAAUCAUAUCUUGAAAACCAAUCUUCGAGCCUAAGAGUUUGGGGAUCUGGAGACAUUUUAUUUUUAAAUUUGAGGAUCCUAGGAAAAGAAGAAUUAUCCAUUUGGACUUCAAAUUGAUAACCCCUCGGGUGGAAAUCAAUUUUUUGGAUACCCAAUUUGAAUGCAAGUGCUUCCUUGUAAGUGGUGUGGUAAUGUUUCUCAACUUCUUCGAAUUGGCCACUAGCAUGACCGCAAUAAUGCUUUACUCUAUUAAUUUCUUCUAUCAGGACUGGACCCCAAUAAUGAUCAUUAUCAUCAGUUUGUAGAAUUCUUUUUCCAUUUCCAGGAUUUUUCAGGGCAGGUGGAGGAUUCCCAUGGUGGAGGAUUUUUCCUGAGUAAUUGUGACAAUGGACUUAUGUAUUUUGCAAGCUUUGGUAUGAAAUUCCUGAUAUAAUUGAUUAUACCAAGAAAUUGUUGGAUUUGUUUAACGGUGAGAUUUUCAUUAGGAAAAUUUAACAAUUCUUGAGCAAUAUGAGGUUGAGGUUGAUAUUUUCCUUGAGAGAAAUGCAUUCCUAAAAAAUCGAUUUCUGUUUGGGCUAAUUGACUCUUCUUUUCAGAGAGCAUCAUUCCAUGGUUUUGGGCUAUUUGUAAAAAUUGGCCCAAUAAUUGUUUAUGAGCCUUUUCAUCUUUUGAAAAUAACAACACAUCCUCGAUAUAGAUGAGAAAAAUUUCCCUUGUACCCCCACACUUUGCCUUGUACCCCCAAAAAAAUUCGAAAAUGGCAAAACUACCCUCAAUUUUUUUCACCAUUUUGUAAAUGACUAUUAUACCGGAAAUGUAAAUAUUUUUUUCACCAUUUUGUCAUAACCCCAGCCGUAAAACAGAUUUCCGGUAAGUGGCAGUUUUCCGGUAACUACCGGAAUACUUGAAACAAGAUUUCCGGUACAGAGUAAAGUACCGGAAAAGUUAAAACUGAGUUUUCCGGUACAGAGUAUAGUACCGGAAAUGUUAAAACUGACUUUUCCGGUAUAGAAGGGAAAAUUUGUGUACCGGAAAUCUUGGUUGGCAAGUAUUCCGGUACAGUAGUAGGUUCUGGAAAACUUCAUUUUUGAGUUUUCCGGUACAUACCAUAUUUUUUUAAUUUUUUUUUAAGUUUUUUAAUUUUUUUUAAAUGUUAACAGAUAUGGAUAAUCCACUACUAUUAAUGAACAAAACAUGCGUCUAUACUACAAAUAUUUUUGACACAGAUCAGGUAUGAAUAAAUAUAUUUAAUAUUAAUAUUAUAAAAAUAUAUUUUUGUGAUUAAUUAUAAUUAUUUUAUUUCAGAUAUUUGAUUCAAGGGAUACUGUUGUGAAAUGGGCAAAAGAAAUUGGUAUAAAAAAUAAAGUUACCGUUAUUAUCAGAAGAUCAGAUAUAGAGACGGGUGAGAAAGGAUGGAGAAAUAAAUUAAUAUUAGGUUGUGACAAAGGGGGAAAAUACAAGUGUGCUGCUAGUUCUAUUCGAAGUUCAACAAAAAAAUGUGAUUGUCCUUUCAAGCUUAGAUCAAAACCAUUAAAAGAUGGUUCAGGAUGGAUAGUUAAAGUAAUUUGUGGAAUUCACAACCAUGAAUUACCUGAUACUUUGGAGGGGCAUGCAUAUGUUGGGCGCUUAAAUGAAGAAGAUAGAAAGCAUGUUCAUGAAUUAACAAAAUAUAAUGUUGCACCGAGACACAUAUUACUCUCAUUGCAAGACCGAGAUAAGAGUAAUGUUACUAAGAUCUCACAAAUAUAUAAACAGAGAAGUAUCAUUCGAUUGCGCGUGAGAGGUAAUAGAACAGAGAUGCAACAUUUAUUCAAGUUAAUUGAAGAUGCAAAAUAUGUGUGCUGGAAUAGAAAGCGUGAAGACUCCGAUGUUAUGAGAGAUAUUUUUUGGGCGCAUCCAGAUUCAGUGAAGUUGUUGAAUUUGUUUCCGAUUGUGUUGAUUAUGGACAGUACCUACAAAACCAAUAAAUACAGAAUGCCAUUACUUGAAAUUGUUGGUAUGACAUCAACAGAGAAAACAUUUGUAGUUGGGUUUGCUUAUUUGGAAUGUGAGAGGGAAGAAAACUUUUGUUGGGCAUUAGAGAGACUAAAAGAUUUGUUUGUUACACAAAAUAAAUUCCCUCAAGUAAUUGUGACAGACAGAGAUCUUGCGUUAAUGAAUGCAGUUGGCAUUGUGUUUCCACAUGCUGUUAAUUUACUUUGUCGAUUUCAUAUCGAAAAAAAUGUUGGAGCAAAAUGCAAGCAAUAUGUCUUAAAGGAUAGACAAGAGUCAAUAUUGAAUAUGUGGAAAGACAUUAUGUAUUGUAGUAAUGAAAAAGAGUAUAUGAUGCGCUUGCAUAUGUUUGAACAAUCAUGUGUUGAUACUAAAGUGUUUGUUGAUUAUGUCAAAGAAACUUGGUUGACUCCACAUAAGGAAAGAUUUGUUGAAGCAUGGACAAAUAAAGUGAUGCAUUUGGGGAACACAACGACUAACAGGUAUUUAAUAUAAUUUUAUUAUAUAUUGUUGAAUUGUAUUAUAUUAUAAUUUUAUUAUAUUUUCUAAUGUAUCUGUAAAAAAAAUUUACAGGGUUGAGUCAGCUCACUGGAAACUGAAGUUAAUGUUAGAAAAUAGCAUGGGUGAUUUGUGUAAAUGUUGGGAGGCUAUGAACAACAUGAUAAGGUUACAACAUAAAAGAAUCAGAGCCUCGUUUCAAAAAAGUUUUUAUGAUGAAGAGCAUGAGCACAGAAAUCCAUUUUAUCAGAGAUUGAAUACAUUUGUAUCAACAGAAGCUCAAAGACGUAUUGCUGAAGAAUACGACAAAGUUGAGUGGGUGGGUACUGACAAAUCUAUAUGUGGGUGUUCUCUGAGAAGGACAUACGGAUUACCUUGUGCUUGUGAAUUGGGACAAUAUAAAUUAAUGGGUGAACCAAUUCCUCUAGAUUCUGUGCAUAUUCAAUGGAGAAAAUUAAGCAUGGAAUGUGAACUCACUCAAGACACAGAAGAUGGAUCAGAGUUGGAUAUGUCUACUGAGAUGAAUGCCUUAUGGAAACGCUUUCGAUCACUUGAUGUUAUUGGGAAACGAGUGUUGAAGAGUAAAGUGCGUGAACUUGCUUUUCCAAGUACAAGUUCAAUAUGUCCACCACCUGAAAAAGUCAAAACCAAAGGAAGAGUGAAGAAGAGUAAGGGUAUGAAGCCAGAUGGAUAUGAUGUAUAUCGAGACCCUUCUUACUUUGAGCAUGUUAAUGCAACAUAUGGUGAAGAUAUUGGUUCCCAACCCUCUCAAUCAAAGAAGAGACAAGCCUCUCAAUCAAAGAAACACCCCUCUCAGUCAUCUCAUUCUUCAAAAAAUUUGUUAUUGACACAAUUUCCUGAUAUUACUCAGCCAUACAUUGAUGACAUAUUUGACGUGGCAGCUGAUGGAAAUUGUGGUUUUCGCGCUAUUGCAUUAUUGCUUGGUUUCGGUGAAGAGUAUUGGUCUUUGGUCCGCAAGAGAUUGGAUCAAGAGAUUGUUUCUCAUGUAACUCCAUAUAAUAGAUUGUUCACAGGACGCAUUAAAGAAGUAAGAGAUUCGUUGAUGAUAUCCAGUUUAGGUGUUCAACCCAUGGAUAAAUGGUUGUCCAUACCUGAUAUGAGUUACGUGAUAGCGACAGCAUAUAAUAUUAUUCUUGUCACGUUCGGUCUGACAUUUUCAAUGACUUUCUUUCCUAUGAGGGGUUCACAUUCCGGAUCGACAAAAAAUGAUCGCAUUUGUUGUAUUGGUUUUGUUAAUGGAAAUCACUGGGUUCCGGUAAUUAUUUUCUUAUACUAUUAAUAAAGUAACCGACAUUACAAUAAUUAAUAAAAUAACUAUUCAGAGACGGGUGAGUCUAACAUAACAAUAAUUAAUAAAGUAACCGACAUUACAAUAAUUAAUAAAAUAACUAACAUAAAGUGUUCAUAAAAUAACCGACAUAAUAAUAGUUCAUCAAAAGUGUUCAUAAAAUAACCUACAUAACAACAGUUACAAAAGUGUUACUACUAACUAGUGCGACUACGUGAUAAAUACAAAGCUUUAUAAAAGUGCCUAUACAACUCAUCAUCUGGACUAGCUUGAUGUUCACUCAACCCCUGCUGUAUAAGAUCACCGAUCUGCUGUAGGAUAGGUGGCGGCUGUGAACUAGAAGCAUCUGCACUGGUGGGCGGUACACUAUAACGUGGGACCUGAGGUACACCAUCUGGUCGCACCAGCAGUGGAUGAGACACCUGAUAGAACCACUCCAAAUAUCCAUCUUCACACUCAGAUGGAUAUGUAGCUGGACGAAGCUUGGGAAAUAGCUCUGUCACUGGCGUCACAUAUCCCAACCAUUCCACAUCUACAUCAAAUAAUCUAGCAGGAUCUGGAAGUGGCGGUGAAGGAAUAUACUGGAUAUAUCCGAAUUGUCUCAAACACCUCUCUGGUAGAUAUUUCACUACAGUGCUGCAUAAUCGAAUGUGACCAGUAUAAAGUGUGAUAUCAUCAAAAGGAAUGACACCCAUGUGAUUCUCCCAUGGUCUCCAUAAAACAUCUGCAGGUGUCAAUGCAUCAAUAAUACUUCUGUAUUCGUGGACCUUAUGCUUGUCUUGCUUAUAGCACCAUCUAUUCAUUCGGGCAAAACAUUCCACGUCAGCACCUUGAUCACCUCUAUUACAAAUAUUCGGAAAAUAUUCGUAAAUCCAGCACUGUUACAAAUAAAAAUAUUAAAUAAUUAAUACUAACAAUUAAAUACAACAUAAAUAAAUUAAAUAAAUAAUUAACAAUUAAUACUAAAAUAUAAUUGAUACCUGAAGCAACGUCAUAUAUCCACCUAGCUGUUUGGUGUCAUAAUAGCAGACAUCUGAGAGGUAGUCAUAAAGCACCACUAGUGCAGCAGUACCCCAUGCAUAUCUAUCUAUACCAUCUAAAUAUCUGAAUAAAGGGAGGUACUUCGCAUCAACUAGAGUAUGGCUCUUAUCAGCGAAAAUAGUACUCGCGACUAAAUUCAACAGAUAUGCCCUAGCAGCACAGUCAAACCUCUCUGCUGCACAUUGCCUUCUGAACACCUCCUUCAACCAAUCCAAUCUAUAGUGUGCACCUCUAGUCUUUCUGGUCUCCUCCCAGAUCUCUUUCGUGGUCACUCCUAAUAGAUGGACGGCAAGAUUACAUGCCGUUACUCUAUCUACAUCGGGUGGACUGUAGAACUCACCCCUAAUAGGCAAUCCGAGAAGAUUGGCAACAUCAUCCAAAGUAAUCGUCAUUUCACCAAAUGGCAUGUGAAAUGACGAUGUCUCAGAAUGCCAUCUUUCAACAAAGGCAGAUAUCAAGUUGUUGUCGAUCAUCUUCAAACUACCCCGUUGUAAUGGGUUCAGACCAGACAAAUUCACCCAAUUCUCUAUGGGUCGCGGAAGUACCGGCGGAGUAAAUUGUUGCAUUUUCUUCCCAUGCGCAACAAUUUUCAGCAAUGGUCGCUCCUGUAUACAAAAAAAAAAUAUGACAUUAAAAUUAAAUUUAGACAACAAAUAAUAAUUAAUUUAAAUACGUAAUAAUUAAUUUAAUAUACCUCGCCAAACCAUAGUCUAGCUGAAACAUGAUAACGGUAUCGUGUAAGGACAGACAAAUCAUAAGGUCCUCCAGGAUACCGUGUGAGCUCACCAGGUCCCUCAGGUCCAUCAUGUUCCUCCUCCAUAUGCUCUCCCUCAUGAGCAGGUGCAGCCUCCUCCUGCUCAUGUACAUCCACCUGCUCGUGCACCAUAUGCUCAUGUACCACAUCUUCCUCAUGCACUGUAGAAGGCUCCCCCUGAUCAUUAUGUCCCUCAUCAUCGUCUUCAAUAAUCAUACGUCUUCUUCUCCUUGAAGCUGUCGGUCGAAUCCUCUCUGGGGGAUUCAUCGGAGUCGAUGUAGAAGUCUCAGUGUCUCGUGUAAUUCCUAUGAUUUUGCCGUCUCUUCCUCGUGCACCCACUGAAAAAUUAAAAUAUUAAAAGAAUUAAAUCACAAUAAGUUAUAAAAUUAUAAUUAAUUAAAUUAAAAAAAAAAUAUACGUAACUUCCGGAAAACUUGAUGCUCAAGUUCUCCGGUAACUACCGGAAAUGUUGGCAAUCAAGUUUUCCGGAACGCUUUCUGUACCGGAUAUGUUAAAAAUAAGUUUUCCGGAACACUCUUCUGUACCGGAAAACUUCCUACAAGAUUUCCGGUACCGGAAAACUUUAAAACAACGUUUCCGGAGUACAACCUCUGUACCGGAAAACUUGUUUCUCAACUUCUCCGGAAAUUUUGAAAAAAAACUUACUCUCUGUUCCGGAAAUGUGAAAGUGUGGAAUGGUAAUUUUGUGAGGUUUUAUUAUUUAUAUGAGGGCAAAAUAGUCAUUUCAUUCUAAAUUUGGGGGUAUAGGUAUAAUAAGGAGGGUACAAGGGAAAUUUUUCUAUAGAUGAGGAUACUAUUGAGAAUGGGCUCAAGGAUUCUAGUCAUGGCCUUUUGAAAUAGUGAGGGAGCAACCUUGAGCCCAAAUGGUAAUACUGUCCAUUGGUAUUGGGCAUUAGGAAUGUAGAAGGCCAUUUUGUAACGGUCCUUAGGAUCAACACCCAAUUGACAAAAUCCUAACUUCAUAUCAAACUUGGAAUAUAUCUGAGCAUCUUUGAGGGAGAUGUUUAAUGAAGAGGUUUUCGGAUUGGGAAAUUUAUCAUCUUUCAGAAAAUGAUUAAGAGGUUUAUAAUCAAUUAGUAACCUAUUUUUCCCUCUUAUUUUUUCAGAUCUCUUUUCAACAUAAAAUGCUUGGCAAUCCCAUUCAGAUUUUUUGGGUUCUAUCAUACCUUGUUUGAGUAACUGGUUGCAUUCUUCUCGGGCCAAAGCUUAAUCUGAUGGACUCAUUCCUGAAUGAGUAACUUUGGUUGGAUUGAUAUCCUCAUUGAGCUUGAAAGGAAGUUGGACAAAAAAGUCUUUGUUUGUCCAUAAAUAUUUUGGAUGAGAGAAUUUUUCAUGACUGUCUGCACAAAGUUUGAGCAAUUUGAACUUAAUUUCUUCAUAUUCAGCAAGAACUUCAGAAAGAGAAUACAACUUUAAUAUUCCUGAAUAAGGUUUAAAUUCUCGUUUAAAUUUGAUUCCUGUAGGGAGAAUUUGAAGCCUAUUUGCUGUUGAAUAAACAUCCAUACCUACAACAAUAUCUUUAUUUGGGAGGCUACUACUAAUGACCUUUGUCCAAACUAUGCAUUCGGGGAAAAAUCUGAUUCUAAUUUUUUGCUUUGUCAUCAAAUAUGUUCUGAAAGUUUUUCCAUCUGCUGCUACAAAGUAUGCAACAUGUUACACCCAUGCUUCUGUAGGGAGGAUGCUUGGGUUCAUCAUUGUUAUUUGGGCACCAUUAUCCAUAUAGCUAUAACUUUCUUGGGAUGAGAAAACUUUGAGGCGAGUACAUGAAUUUCAACACAAGGGAUAGGAGGAGAAGAUAAAGUACUUCAUACUUCUUUGAAUGAGUAAAUAGGAAAACAUCUAUCAUCUUCUGAUUUAGCAAACGAUGCUUUGUAUGAAGAAGAGUUAUUCGAGGAAGAGUUUUGAAGAGCAAAAAUUGUUUCUUCAUUGGUAGAGCUUUGUUUAGAAUACAAGAUUCUAGAUCUCCUUCUAGAGGUUGAAGAGAGUUGAUCAACUUUGCAGCUUUGUUGGUUUUAUUAGGACAUCUCUUAGAAAAAUGUCCCUUUUCUCCACAAACAAAACAUAUUUGAUUUUUCUCUUUUCCUCUGAAUUGCUUCCUUUUAAAGAACUUCAAAGCUUUCCUUUUCCUUUCCUUCUUGAAGAUUCUAGAAGGUUUAGUGUAUCUUCACCGAUGAUCUUUCUUUCUUGUUGAACAACUGCAUUUGUUAUCUUUGCACUUGAUUUCCAGGUAAGGCUUUUUGAAUGCCUUGGUGAAUUUGGAUUUUUGUUCUACAAUUUCUAAGAAAUGUUGGUGCAAUCUACAUAGCUUUUCAAGUGCCUCCAAUGUUAUUUGAUGUAUCUGGCCGAGACUCAUGGUUUUAAUAUCUUUAUGAGCUGUUGCUAUCAUCCUAUGGAUUUCUGGUUGGAGUUCUUAGGGCAGUGAAGAGAUAUAUGUAUUUUAAGACUAUGAUCAUUAAAUCCAUUGAGGACAUAAUAUCUCUAGGUCAUUCUUUGAUAGUGUUUUUCAAGAUCUUUGACUCUAAGAGAACAAAAUCUCAUUUCAAAGAAUUUUUGUCUGAUUUUUCAAUCAAAUAUCUCCAUAUCACCAAUGAAUUCGUUGUGAAGAAUUCCAAGGACAACAACAAUAUUUUCUAAUAUGUGUAAUUCAUCUUGUUUGAAUGUACCAAGAUUAUGGUACCAUUCCUUCAACGUGCCUGUCAUUCUCCAUCAAAAUUCUUCAGUGAUCUUAUAAGCGUCUGCACCUGUUUUCAUCAUCUGAGUGUCAAACCAGACACCAAAUUCAACGAGUCUCUUUCUCCAGGGUGGUAUAUCAUCAAGCGUGAACCAAACUCCACUAUUUAUUUUUAUUUUUGCAGAGACUGGGUUUUCUUCAAGUGAUUCUUCAUAAAUGGAUCCUUCCUCUUUUACAUUCACUAUAAAAAGUCUAGAAAUGUUCAUGUAAUUCCUUUAAGAUUCUGAUUCUUGUUCUGGUAGUGAUGAAAAAGAAUCAGAGGUAUCUUUGGAAGAAUCAUUUUUCUCAAAGGAAGAGGAAUCAUCACUUUUUUCUUGAGAAUUGUGCAAGAGAAUCAUUUUCUUGUGGGAAUUCAUGGUUUUCUGUGAUUGUCAUGGCUUAGAAACUUUUAUCAGGAAUUUCUUCCUUUGGGAAUUUUGGAGGAGGUGUUUCAGGAACAUCUUGGGAGUUAGAGGAUGAUACACUUAAGCAAGUCUUUUCCUUGGACCUGGAAUUGAGGUUUUUGUAGUUCUGUUAGAUUUUUGUUUAUAAAUUGAGGAUAUGUAUUUGGCAUAAUCUGGUGGUGAUGAAGCAUAGGUAGGGUACAGAUGAGAUGACUUUUCUGGUCGUGUGAAAUAAGUAGGAAAAUUAAGAGGGUUAAAGAAAAGAUCUUCAACAAGUUUAGGUUUUUCUUCUUUGGAAGCUCUGAAGAAAUAAUCAAUCUCUUUCACUUGGCUUUGUAACUUUUUUAUUUCUCUUUCCUUUCGGUCAAAAUCUUGGCCAAAAGUUUUUUCUUCUAACAUCUUUCUUAAGUCAUGAUCCAACUGAGAGACUUGAGUUUUUAAGGUUUUAUAGUGUUUUUGCAUUUUUUGAGACAAAACUUUGAGAUUUUCAUCUGUUUCGUCUAUAUUUUUAGUAAUCUUAUUCACUUUCUGUCUAGAUUCUGGAGAGUCUCAUUUUGAGCGACCAUGUUUUGUGAUUAGCAAUUUAGAACUUCCUGCACUUGGUUAGAGGUUUAAGUUUUCAAUCAGGUUGGACUUCAUUGGGUUGUAUGAAAGGUUUGGAUGAUCUGUUUGUGAUUGGGUCCACUUUUCUAUCUAGAGCAGAGAAUUGUUGGUUAUAUUCUGAUGUUGAAGCUAAGAACAUAAAACAAGGGAUUAGUUUGGUAUUCUUUGGAGGGUUUAAAGGUUUACAAUAGUGACAAGUAACAAGAGUAGGGUCAUUAGGUGAUAAGAGCUUUUCUUGUUUGAGUUUUUCUAUCUAGAGCAGAGAAUUGUUGGUCAUAUUCUGAUGUUGAAGCUGAGAACAUAAAACAAGGGAUUUCUUUGGUAUUUUUUGGUGGGUUUAAAGGUUUACAAUAGUGACCAAGUAACAAGAGUAGGGUCAAUAGAUGGCAAGAGCUUUUCUUUAUUGAGGAUUUUAAAUGCUUCUUUAUAGAUAGGAAGAGGUUUCUUUUUUUCAUGGAUUCCUACCCAUGGAUCGUUAUGAGAUCUGAUUUUUUAUUUGGUGGAGGAGAUAAUCUGCACGUCCCUUUACUUUUAUAAUAUAUUUUUCAUGUAAUUUUUUUUAUUAAUAGUGUAAAAUUUUAUAUAAUACAUACGAAUUUAAAAAUAGUUAUUUUUUAUAUUAACAACCACUAUAAAUUUUUUUUUUGACAUAAAUUAAAUAAUUAUUUUAUUACAUAAAGUGUUCACAGAAAAGUAAUGGCAUUGCAAUAUAAAGGUACAAUAGUUAAUUUUUGUGCUUUGAUUUGGCAAAAUAAGUAAAAGCCGUUAUUUGAAUUGAAAGAGAAAUAGAAGUAGUAGCUCGAAAUCAGAUGGCAAUGGCAAUGGCAAUGGAGCUGUUGUUGAUCGCUCAAACUGUUGAUUUCAUGGACGCCGAAAUCUGCAAUCUCCCAAAUAAAUUCAAAUCCAACAAGGUAUUCUUCAUUCUUCCAAAAGAUACAGUUGCCGUUGGAUUGGAUUGGAUUCGAUAAUCACCGUUCACAUUAAUAGCGUGUUAUUAAUUGGAACUAACUAGUAACUGUGCGUGUAAUGUGUAGAUCAUACAUAACCUUCUAGUUUAACUCAUAUAUCAACGAAUAAAUUGUGAGUGUUUCUAAUUUUGGAUUUUGUUGAAAAAUAUCUCUUUAGUUUCCAAUGUUAUUAGUUACUUAUUAUUAAUUUUGUUAGAGGAUGGAAUUGAACCAACACAUUCUUUAUUACUCCAAUUCCUAUCUUCCUCCCCAAACCGAGAAUCAUGAUUUCAAAUAGGAAAGGACAAUGCUAUUAUUAUUUUUUAAUUUAUUGUAUCAUUUUGUAAUUUCUUCAUUAUAUAGAUCCCUGUGCUACCAAAUAUUUUAAUUUCCCCACUACAGUUUUGUUCUCUAUAUCUAUCAUUUAAAAUGUGUACACUUGUUAAUAAAAAUGAUUAUUUAUACUAACUUUCACGGCAAAUCAUGUCCAUUGGUUUUCUUUACACUUUGAAAUGAGUGCAUUACGAAUACGAACUUGAGAGUGAGACAAAUUAUUGAACCUAUGAAAUGGUAAAGAAAUUUGCAUUCAACUGCGAGAUUUCGGAUUUGAACUCGGGACAUGAUAUUCAGUCUAACAAUUUCGGUAUUUGCAUGUUGAGUAUAGGCUUUAUGGAUCAAUAAUUGAACCUUUAAAUAUUUCCUAGCUAGCUGUUAAAAUACAACCCUUUAAAUAAUGCUUUGAACCUUUAUACAGUAGCAAGAAACCAAAAAAGAAAAAGGAUAACAGCUGUUAUAGUCUCUACUGCUUUUGUUUUCUGCAGAACUUGAAUUGCAGUGAUCAUUACCUUAUUCUCUUGAUGCUAGAUACUGCAGAUAGAAGAAAGGGGAAGAUUGUUCAUACAACUUGAGCUGGUAUGCACUGGAAGUACUCAAAAUCAGGUAAUAAGACAUUCUCAUAGUUUCCUUUUAUUAAACUUUUUGUGCUUGAGUUCAUUCUUCUGUGCUUUAUUCUCUUUCUUGAGUUUCUCAGUUUCUUCCAUUAACUUCAUUACAAUUGGUAUAAUCUCAGAUGCAUCAUCAUCUGUUUCUUCCACCUAAAUUCAUCACCAAACCUUUACUCAAAAACUCAGAUCUAUCUCUGUCUCGAUCUCGUAUGAUGAGAUUUUGGGGAAGGUACUUCAAUCAACGCUUUUUCUCUGUUUCAAUCCCUAUCCUCAGAUUCACCAUCACCAUUAUCGUCUUCACCUCCACCUCCGUCGUUUUUGGUUGCAUAAAUGGCAGUUGUUGUUUGAGGUGUGAAAAUGGGAGCACUUGAGGAAGUGAAUAGGUUGGAAUGAGAAUGUGGAUGGUGAAAAAUGAUGGUAAGAGUUGGUUGUAGUGAAAGAGUAGAAGAAGAGUAAUCUUUUUUGGGCGGGUAGAGAGAAAUAACAUGUUGGAGAAUGAAGAAGUCAUGGCCAUUGCAGAGUGUGAAGAGACAAAGAAACCUUAUGACAUUUACUGGUUCUGCAUUUUUCAGUUCUUCAAACCCUAAGGUUAUUUAGUUUAUAAAAAUAAAAAGUCGCACAGUCAACAUCAUUGAUACAAAUAAAAAUAUUAUGGGUCUACUUGGGACAAAGAAUUAUCUGUAAAAGAGGGUCAUUCGUAUCUUAUGCCCUUAUUACAAGGGUUUAAAAUUUCAUGUGUUUGAAAUAAAACAAGACCAACCUACUAAUUACUCAAUUUCGAAUUCAAUUUCCGCAUUCAAUUGCUGAUCUUCUAACGGUGGAGUUGUUAUCAAGCUACCACCAGCGUGACUGAUGGUUGAUUCUUCAUAAUUUCACUCAUCUUCUUCUUUCUCACUGUUUUCGUAGAAAUGUUUAGUCUCUGCUGCUUUUGUUUACUGCAGAACUUCAAUUGCAUUGAUCAUUACUUUAUUCUCUCAGCAGAUUGGAGAAAUAGAGAAAAUUGUUCACAAGACUUGAGCAUGUGCUGAAAGUGGUUAUUUGUAAAUCUGUUGGAAAACAAGGUAAAAAACAUAUUCAUGGUUGGUUACCUUUAUUCUGUUUACAUUUUCAGUUUUUCUGUCUGUAAAUUAUUUACAUUCUCAAUCUGCACUGCUCCUGGCUACACGAUCAUUUGUCAUAAGUUGCUUGUUUACAGUUUUCAAAGAUGCAGUGGUAUAUGUGUAAAUAUGUUAGAAAUAUCUUAAACAAAGAGAUUGACUAGAAAGUUUGCUUGAUCUUUCUCCAAUAGAUUUAUGAAUAAACUAAAAAAUUUCUUUGAUGAAAAGUGUCAUCAAGUUCAAAUUUUCAGACUAAGUCUGUCAAUGUAGAAAAUCUUCAUGUACAGAAAGAAUAUGAACAUUGUGUUCAGAGAAUCAGAUUUACUACCAAUCAACCAUUUUCAUUUACAUUACACAAUAAAGUAUAUAUGUGUGCUUGAGAUCAAGCAUAGUAACUAACUAUUUAACUGACCGCAAAACUACCAAAAUAGAAAAAGCCAACAUAAAUAACUACAUCUAUAAUUAAACUACUUUUUUUAUAAUUAAACUACUUAUUUUGGUCAUCGUACCUUUCAUUAUUUAUUUGUUUGUCGCUGAACUUCAAGUCAAAACUAAAUAAUGUCAAAUUGAAGCUUUGUUUAACAUUAAUGGCUAACUUUGCUCUAUUGAAAUUGAUUUAGAUGGUGAGUUGCUUGACUGAUUUGGCGAAGACAUAUGUGGAGAAAUUGAUAAAUGGGGUAAUAGCAGAAUCACGUCAUGUAUUUUGCUUCACAUGCAUUGCUAAGGAAUUCGAAGAAGAAAAAUCUAGGUUGGAAGUAGAAAGAAAAACUUUGGAGCAACGUGCUAAAGUGGCAACAGGAAGAGAUGAAGAUAUUCGAGCCAAUGUUCGUUUCUGGGAAGACGAAGUUGAAAAGCUCAUUCAAGAGGACAUCAAAACAAAACAAACAUGUUUUUUUGGAUUUUGUCCUGAUUGCAUAUGGCGAUAUAAAAGGGGAAAACAGUUGGCAAAUAAGAUGGAGGAGAUUAAACGAUUAACAGAAAAGGGAGAGAAACUUGAAAACAUUGAACUCCCUCGCCGUCUUCCAGAUGUUGAACGUUAUUCAUCCGAAGAUUACAUUCGUUUUGAAGGCAGAGAGUCAAAAUACAAAGAGCUGUUUGAUGCACUAAAAGAUGACAAGAACUAUAUAACCGGAUUGCAAGGGAUGGGGGGAACUGGAAAAACUACAUUGGCCAAAGAAUUGGGUAAAGAACUAAAGAAAUCUGAACAAUUCGCACAUGUCAUUGAUACAACAGUGUCAUUUACUCCUGAUAUAAAAAAGAUUCAAGAUGAUAUUGCUGGACCUUUAGGAUUGAAAUUGGAGAACUGUAACGACUCAGAUCGACCCAAAAAACUCUGGAGCAGAUUAACAAAUGGUGAGAAAAUUCUUAUAAUAAUGGAUGAUGUGUGGGAUCGAGACCCCCCUCUUGAUUUUGAUGUAAUAGGAAUUCCAAAACGAGACAAUCACAAAGGUUGCAAAGUUCUUAUAACCACACGCAGUAAACGAAUAUUAAAUAAAAUGAGUUGUGAUAAGAAAAUUGAAUUGGAGAUUUUAUCUGACGAAGACGCAUGGAUCAUGUUCAAAAGGUAUGUCGGUAUAAACAAUAGUUCUUCAAAAAAUUUGAUCAGUAAGGGACAAAAAAUUACUAAGGAAUGCAAAGGAUUACCAGUUGCAAUUGCAGUCAUUGCCAGCAGUUUAAAGGGCCAACAACUUCGCAAGCAUGAGUGGGAUGCGACCUUGAAAUCCUUGAAGAAGCCUGUGUCCAUGCAUGGUGUUGAUGAAGAUAUGGCUGGAAUUUAUAAAUGUUUGAAGUUUAGCUAUGAUUAUAUGAAGGAUGAAAAAGCCAAGCGAUUGUUCCUCUUAUCUUCUAUAUUCCCAGAAGAUAAAGAAAUUUCUGUUGAAAUUCUAACUAGACUUGGCAUUGGAACGGGCCUUUUUGGGGAAGAUUAUGGCCGCUACGAUGAUACUCGAAACCAAGUAGUUGUUGCCAAAAAUAAACUCAUAGAUUCUUGUUUGUUGUUGGAUGUCGGUGAAAGACAUGUAAAAAUGCAUGAUUUAGUUCGUGAUGCGGCUCAAUGGAUAGCGAACAAAGAGAUUCGGGGUGUAAAUUUAUCUAUCAAAGAUCAAAAGUUAUUGGUUCAAAAAGAAAUAAAUAUUAAAUAUUUAUUAUGUGAAGGGAAGGACAUGGAUUUGUUUUCUUGUAAAUUUGAGUGUUCAAAACUUGAGAUUCUAAUUGUCGAUAUAGAUAGAGAUGAAAGCCAUAAAUGUAUGGAAGUCCCAAAUUCUUUUUUUAAAAAUAUUGUCAAGCUUCGAGUUUUAUACUUUACAGGUAAUGAAGAACAACCUCUAUCAUUACCACAAUCAAUUCAGUCAUUGACGAAUAUUCGAUCUUUGUUGGUUGAUAAAGUGGAUUUAGGUGACAUCUCUGUUUUGGGAAAGCUGGAAAGUCUUGAGACUCUUGAUUUGGUGUCCUGCACAAUCAAUGAAUUGCCAUUCGAAAUUACAAAAUUGGGAAAAUUUAAAUUGUUGAACUUGGAUAAUUGUGAAAUUCGAAGGAAUAAUCCAUUUGAGGUCAUUGAAAAAUGCUCAUCACUUGAAGAGUUAUAUUUCAUAGAGAGUUUUAACGGUUUUUGUCGAGAAAUAGCCAUACCUGAGUUGCAAAGGUAUCGUAUUUGUAACAACUGGGAUAUAAUGAAUUAUUCACAAUCAAGGUAUUUGAGUUUUUGUGCUAGUGAUGAUGCAUCUGUUUUUUCAGAAGCAACGUUCAAGUAUUUCAUGCGAACAACAGAGUUUCUUCGACUAAUAGGAAUUAAGAGGGGAUGGAGAAAUCUCAUGCCUGAGAUUGUUCCUAUAGGUCAAGGUAUGGAUGAUCUUGUUGAGCUUCGCUUGAGUUGUAUUUCACAGUUACAGUGUCUCAUUGACUCUAUUGGUUCUCAAGUACCAAGUCUUUUGUCCAAGUUGGUUGUACUAGAAUUGGAUACGAUGGAAAAUUUGGAAGAACUAUUCAAUGGUUCCUUAUCCUUUGACUCUUUGAAGAAUUUAGAGAUGCUAUCAAUGAAGCAGUGUAAAAAAUUUAAAAGAUUGUUUAAUUGCACGCUAAAUCUCUGCAAUCUGAAGACCUUGAUACUGGAGAAAUGCCCAAUGUUGGUUUCCCUAUUUCCAUUGAUGUCUUGGAAUCUGGUGCAGCUAGAGAAAUUGGAAAUAUCUGAAUGUGAGGAAUUGAAAAACAUAAUAGAUGUAAAAAGAGAGGAGGAAUCAAGAGAAGAAAUAGAUGUUGGUGAUAAUGAUAACAAGAGGCAUGGCUCGAUUUUUCCAAAAUUAAAAGUUCUUGAUAUUGAGGGAUGUCACCGAUUAGAAUCGAUACUUCCCUUCCUCUCUUCUCAAGAUUUUCCAGUACUAGAAGCUAUCUUAAUAAGAAAAUGUGAUGAGCUGAAAUACAUAUUUAGCCAAUACCAACAUGUUGAACUCAAGUCACUAAAAAAAAUGCUGCUCUGUCAAUUACCAAAUUUCAUAGACUUUUUUCCAAAAUGCUAUGAUUCCAUGUCUUCGCCUGUGAAUGAGUCAUAUUCCACUCCCAGAGAUGGUUUCAAGGAACAAAUACAAUUGGACCCUAUCAAAUUGGAAUUUAUAAAUGUUUGAAGUUUAGCUAUGAUUAUAUGAAGGAUGAAAAAGCCAAGCGAUUGUUCCUCUUAUCUUCUAUAUUCCCAGAAGAUAAAGAAAUUUCUGUUGAAAUUCUAACUAGACUUGGCAUUGGAACGGGCCUUUUUGGGGAAGAUUAUGGCCGCUACGAUGAUACUCGAAACCAAGUAGUUGUUGCCAAAAAUAAACUCAUAGAUUCUUGUUUGUUGUUGGAUGUCGGUGAAAGACAUGUAAAAAUGCAUGAUUUAGUUCGUGAUGCGGCUCAAUGGAUAGCGAACAAAGAGAUUCGGGGUGUAAAUUUAUCUAUCAAAGAUCAAAAGUUAUUGGUUCAAAAAGAAAUAAAUAUUAAAUAUUUAUUAUGUGAAGGGAAGGACAUGGAUUUGUUUUCUUGUAAAUUUGAGUGUUCAAAACUUGAGAUUCUAAUUGUCGAUAUAGAUAGAGAUGAAAGCCAUAAAUGUAUGGAAGUCCCAAAUUCUUUUUUUAAAAAUAUUGUCAAGCUUCGAGUUUUAUACUUUACAGGUAAUGAAGAACAACCUCUAUCAUUACCACAAUCAAUUCAGUCAUUGACGAAUAUUCGAUCUUUGUUGGUUGAUAAAGUGGAUUUAGGUGACAUCUCUGUUUUGGGAAAGCUGGAAAGUCUUGAGACUCUUGAUUUGGUGUCCUGCACAAUCAAUGAAUUGCCAUUCGAAAUUACAAAAUUGGGAAAAUUUAAAUUGUUGAACUUGGAUAAUUGUGAAAUUCGAAGGAAUAAUCCAUUUGAGGUCAUUGAAAAAUGCUCAUCACUUGAAGAGUUAUAUUUCAUAGAGAGUUUUAACGGUUUUUGUCGAGAAAUAGCCAUACCUGAGUUGCAAAGGUAUCGUAUUUGUAACAACUGGGAUAUAAUGAAUUAUUCACAAUCAAGGUAUUUGAGUUUUUGUGCUAGUGAUGAUGCAUCUGUUUUUUCAGAAGCAACGUUCAAGUAUUUCAUGCGAACAACAGAGUUUCUUCGACUAAUAGGAAUUAAGAGGGGAUGGAGAAAUCUCAUGCCUGAGAUUGUUCCUAUAGGUCAAGGUAUGGAUGAUCUUGUUGAGCUUCGCUUGAGUUGUAUUUCACAGUUACAGUGUCUCAUUGACUCUAUUGGUUCUCAAGUACCAAGUCUUUUGUCCAAGUUGGUUGUACUAGAAUUGGAUACGAUGGAAAAUUUGGAAGAACUAUUCAAUGGUUCCUUAUCCUUUGACUCUUUGAAGAAUUUAGAGAUGCUAUCAAUGAAGCAGUGUAAAAAAUUUAAAAGAUUGUUUAAUUGCACGCUAAAUCUCUGCAAUCUGAAGACCUUGAUACUGGAGAAAUGCCCAAUGUUGGUUUCCCUAUUUCCAUUGAUGUCUUGGAAUCUGGUGCAGCUAGAGAAAUUGGAAAUAUCUGAAUGUGAGGAAUUGAAAAACAUAAUAGAUGUAAAAAGAGAGGAGGAAUCAAGAGAAGAAAUAGAUGUUGGUGAUAAUGAUAACAAGAGGCAUGGCUCGAUUUUUCCAAAAUUAAAAGUUCUUGAUAUUGAGGGAUGUCACCGAUUAGAAUCGAUACUUCCCUUCCUCUCUUCUCAAGAUUUUCCAGUACUAGAAGCUAUCUUAAUAAGAAAAUGUGAUGAGCUGAAAUACAUAUUUAGCCAAUACCAACAUGUUGAACUCAAGUCACUAAAAAAAAUGCUGCUCUGUCAAUUACCAAAUUUCAUAGACUUUUUUCCAAAAUGCUAUGAUUCCAUGUCUUCGCCUGUGAAUGAGUCAUAUUCCACUCCCAGAGAUGGUUUCAAGGAACAAAUACAAUUGGACCCUAUCAAAUGCAAUAUCUUCUCUUGGACUUAUAUAUGUUGUCAUGGUGAUAAAUUUGGGAGUUCGUCAACAACUAGAAUUCCAUUGGUUUCUGGGGAUCAACCACAGGACUACUCAAUCGCAUCGGUAACCCUCUCACCUUUUUCUGUUAUAUUUUGAUACUUUAUCUUUUUAAUGUGUAUCUUGUAUAUUAUUUGAUAGUUUUUGUGCAUAUUUAACAUCCCAAACUUAAAGAUUGCUAUUAGAAGUUGAAUAAAUAUUAUUUGAAGUGUUUCAAACAUUUGAUGCACUAAAUUUAUUAUAGAUAAUGUAAGCCUAUCUUUAGGACUUAAAAAAGAAACAUUAUAACUUAUAUGUUGGCAUUUACAUAAGUUGUAUGCACA
This 48611-nucleotide long non-coding RNA is filed under the name Cicer arietinum (chickpea). RNAcentral's name for it is "long non-coding RNA (CARI_LNC001411)". The record is from RNAcentral. Lineage: Eukaryota; Viridiplantae; Streptophyta; Magnoliopsida; Fabales; Fabaceae.